GGGUUUUUCUUUGUUUCUUUCUUUCUUUCUUUCUUCUUUUUCCUCCCCUUUGAACUGGAAAAUGGCCCACUUCCCACUGGCGAAAACUCAGGAAAUUUGGCAGGACGACCGGGCCUGGUGAAAAAUUCGAUAUUCUGAAGUCGCCCAAACAAUAAAAUGCAAAAUGGCUCCAUAGCGCCCCCUAAGGUGGAAAUUCACACUAUUGACUGUCACGCCUGUACGCUUUGUCAUAUUGACACAAAAAUUGACACACAUAUGUAUCUCAAUAAGAUCUACAAAAAAGUCAGUGCGGCCGUAUCUGUCAAAUGUACGGUUAAAGGGUUAUUUCGCAUUUUUUUCCGAUCCGCACACAUUGGAAUUUUGCUAACUCCUCCAAAGGCUUUCGUUCCACCGGCACCACAUUUGCUCAGGCCAAUCUACACCCCGUGGCCAUUAAAAGUUAUCAAAAUCAUGACGCUGCACCCCAAGGUUUAGGUUCUAGGGGGCGCCAAAGAUAACACUAAAAUCCACAUAUUUAGAAGUCUUAUAACUUUUUAUUUUUGUCCUCACUGGCCUCCAAGUUUUCUAGGAUGAUGCAAUGUCCAGCCAUAAACACAUUUGUGAAGGAAUUUUUACUCCCCAAAAGAGCGCCCCCCCAUGGCAGGAGAAAAAAGUCCAUUUUUUCUUGUCCCCUAAGGUGAAAAUACACAUUGUUGACUGUCACGCCUUUACGCUUUGUCAAAAUGACACAAAAAUUGACACACACAUGUAACUCAAUAAGAUCUACGAAAAAGUCAACGCGCACGUAUCUGUCAAAUGUACGGUUAAAGGGUUAUUCCGCAUUUUUUGCCGAUCCGCACACAUUGGAAUUUCGCUAACUCCUCCGAAGGCUUUCUGUCCACCGGCACCACAUUUGCUCAGGCCAAUCUACACCCCAUGGCCAUUAAAAGUUAUUCAAAUCAUGACGCUGCACCCCACGGUUUAGGUUCUAGGGGGCGCCAAAGACAACCCUAAAAUCCACAUAUUUAAAAGUCUUAUAACUUUUUAUUUUUGUCCUCACUGGCCUCCAAGUUUUCUAGGAUGAUGCAAUGUCCAGCCAUCAACACAUUUGUGAAGGAAUUUUUACUCCCCAAAAGAGCGCCCCCCCCAUGGCAGGAGAAAAAAGUCCAUUUUUUCUUGUCCCCUAAGGUGAAAAUUCACAUUGUUGAGUGUGACACCUGUACGCUUUGUCAUAUUGACACAAAAUUUGACAAUCACGUGUAUCUCAAUAAGAUCUACGAAAAAGUCAAUGCACGCGUAUCUGUCAAAUGUACGGUUAGAGGGCUAUUUUGCAUUUUUUGCCGAUUCGCACACAUUGGAAUGUGGCUAACUCCUCCUAAGGCUUUUGUCCCACUGACACCAAAUUUCCUCAGACCAAUCUACACCCCAUGGCCAUUCAAAGUUGUAAAAAUCAUGACGCUGCACCCCACGGUUAACGUUCUAGGGGGCGCCAAAGAUGACCCAAAUAUCCACAUUCUUAAAAGAAUCCACAUCCCCCCCCCAUCCCCCCCCAUGGCAGGAGAAAAAGUCAAGUUUUUCCUGCCCAUCGCUCAAUGGCCCAAUCGCAUCGCUCUCCAGGCAACACCGUAAGUAGGAGCAACCCGCAAUUUGGAUAUAUCCUAGCUGUGUUUGUGCCCUCACUCAUGGUCCAGACUUUGUUCAAAUAGGACAUGAAGUUUGUCUGCAGCGAGCGUUUUGGUAGAAACUGCGCCUCCCAUUCAUUAUAAUGGGAAAUGACCACAGACAAGUGCGCACACCAUCUUUGGACCUUGAGUGUGACGCAAUCAGGAGGGGGAGGCGGUCGCGCUGGGGGCGGCGCGACGCGGCUCGGGCCCGACAGUGCCCCACCGGGGCCCUAGUUAUUAUUUUUCCUCCCCUUUGAACUGGAAAAUGGCCCACUUCCCACUGGCGAAAACUCAUGAAAUUUGGCAGGACGACCGGGCCUGGUGAAAAAUUUGAUAUUCCGAAGUCGCCCAAACAAGAAAAUGCAAAAUGGCUCCAUAGCGCCCCCUAAGGUGAAAAUUCACACUAUUGACUGUCACGCCUGUACGCUUUGUCAAAAUGACACAAAAAUUGACACACACAUGUAUCUCAAUAAGAUCUACAAAAAAGUCAGUGCGGGCGUAUCUGUCAAAUGUACGGUUAAAGGGUUAUUUCGCAUUUUUUGCCGAUCCGCACACAUUGGAAUUUCGCUAACUCCUCCGAAGGCUUUCGUUCCACCGGCACCACAUUUGCUCAGGCCAAUCUACACCCCAUGGCCAUUAAAAGUUAUUCAAAUCAUGACGCUGCACCCCACGGUUUAGGUUCUAGGGGGCGCCAAAGAUAACCCUAAAAUCCACAUUUUUAAAAGUCUUAUAACUUUUUAUUUUUGCCCUCACUGGCCUCCAAGUUUUCUAGGAUGAUGCAAUGUCCAGCCAUCAACACAUUUGUGAAGGAAUUUUUACUCCCCAAAAGAGCGCCCCCCCAUGGCAGGAGAAAAAAGUCCAUUUUUUUCUUGUCCCCUAAGGUGAAAAUACACAUUGUUGAGUGUCACGCCUGUACGCUUUGUCAAAAUGACACAAAAAUUGACACACACAUGUAUCUCAAUAAGAUCUACAAAAAAGUCAGUGCGCGCAUAUCUGUCUAAUGUACGGUUAAAGGGUUAUUCCGCAUUUUUUGCCGAUUCGCACACAUUGGAAUUUCGCUAACUCCUCCGAAGGCUUUCGUUCCACCGGCACCACAUUUGCUCAGGCCAAAUUACACCCCAUGGCCAUUAAAAGUUAUUCAAAUCAUGACGCUGCACCCCACGGUUUACGUUCUAGGGGGCGCCAAAGAUAACCCAAAAAUCCACAUUUUUAAAAGUCUUAUAACUUUUUAUUUUUGUCCUCACUGGCCUCCAAGUUUUCUAGGAUGAUGCAAUGUCCAGCCAUCAACACAUUUGUGAAGGAAUUUUUACUCCCCAAAAGAGUGCCCCCCCCCAUGGCAGGAGAAAAAAGUCCAUUUUUUCUUGUCCCCUAAGGUGAAAAUACACAUUGUUGACUGUCACGCCUGUACGCUUUGGCAAAAUGACACAAAAAUUGACAAUCAUGUGUAUCUCAAUUAGAUCUACGAAAAAGUCAAAGAGCGCGUAUCUGUAUAAUGUACGGUAAAAGGGCUAUUUUGCAUUUUUUGCCGAUUCGCACACAUUGGAAUUUCGCUAACUCCUCCUAAGGCUUUCGUCCCACUGACACCAAAUUUGCUCAGGCCAAUCUACACUCCAUGGCCAUUCAAAGUUGUAAAAAUCAUGACGCUGCACCCCACGGUUUACGUUUUAGGGGGCGCCAAAGAUGACCCAAAUAUACAUUACAGUAGACAAAGUAGUUUUGCCCACUGAGUGGCGCCAAAGGGACUUGUCUGUGGAGUCUGUGAGUCACUAUUGGCCGUUUUUGACUACUUUAGAUUUUACCUUUAUAUUUCCUCUUACAAAAUUUUUACCUUGCCUUGCCUGGUAUCAUUUUUUUCAGCACAACCUCACCUGUGUCAAUUUACAGUUAUUUUAUCAUUUUGACAUACUAUAUUUACACAUUGGACCCAAAUUCACACACAAAACAUAAAAUCCGAGUGGAAAAAAGUAACGUUUUUACUGUGAAAACCACAAAUAUGUGUGAUGAACUGUUUUUAAAACUUAAACUUCAAAUAAAAAUUGUAAACUUCAAAACAUAUGCAAAUUUUUAACAAAGAACAUAGUAAUUUACCUCUAUUGACAUCAAAAUGCAGGCAAUGGCCCAGGUGUUCUUUGUAAAAUUAUUUACAAAACACUGUAUAGUCUCACAAAUGUCACUUUAUAUUUAUGCCACUACAAAAAAACAUGAUGUAAAUGAUGCAUGAUGUAAAACAUGAUGUAAAAAACUUGUGUAGAUCCUCCUCUAUGUUAGUCCAUGUGUAAUUUUUCCAUAAUUCUUUGUUUUUUGCAGCAUUUUUGUUAGUGUAACUGCAGAUUGUGCUGACAGUGUCUAUGGCAAAAAAAAAAAAAAAAACUGAAAAUGCCUCAACAUGAACCCCUGGUGGUCUCUGAGGGUGAAACCUGCUAACUGCUGCAGCUCUGUCAGCUUCAGUCUCCCAUGCAGAGCUCGGAGCGCAUGUGUGGCUCUGCACCCUUAGCAGCGUUGCUAACUCCUCAGUAAGGAAAGCCUGCUUCAUGUCAGAGUCUCUAAACUCCAGAAGAAGUCGAUAAAAGUCACUUUCUUUCUAAAAAAAAGUCGUUAGGGGGUCUGAAAAGUCAUUGAAUCUAACAACAAAGUCGCUAGGUUUGCAACUACGUGUCCCAGACUGCAUCCCUGCUGAGAGUCCCUCCCUCCCUUCUCAUAUUGCAGGAAGAACGUAAGUUCCCGCCCCUUGUCAAUCAGUCACCAUAUAAUUUUGGAUUGGUUGUUGUGGUGAAGUUUUCCACCAAUAGGAGAGAUGUUGUGGUGUGUUUUUUUUUUCCUUUGGCAAGCCUUUUCCGCCUGUAAGACCUGUCGCUAAUGUCUGCAUGCUAUGUUUUCCUGUCUCAUACAGCGCGAUCGAGCGCCGAACGUGAUCAAAAUAAGCAGAAAACAAGUAUCGUGGACAUAAUUUAUCAUAACUCUGGUUUUAUUUGGCCUAUCAACACAAUUUAAAAACUGGUAUAUAGGUUGAGGUCCUCACUUUUGAGAUAAAUUGAAACGGAGAGUCAACGAGGCUCCGUCUUGCAGCUACAUCCGGUUAAAUAUGUCAUGUGACUUGAACGCGCACACACACACACACACACACACACACACACACACACACACACACACGCACACACACACACACUCAGAGUCUGGUUUUUAGCACCUGCAAAAACAUGCUAUUUACAUAUUUGACAAGAAUGCAGAGGCUCCUUUUGCCCCUGAAAAAAAUCAAAUUUCAAACACAACUUGACUGGUCAUUUCUCCAAAAGACAACCAUGAAGCUCCAUCCAAACCUGAAGCAGGCAGUUGGUGCAUGUGUACAGUAACCUGAGGGGAGUGAGGUGACUGCUUCUGAGGAGAACAUGAGCAGUGAAGAUUCACCUUAGAGCUAGAACAGAGACGUGCACAUGAUUAUACAGGGGCAGGGGCUCAAGUUUUUUCCAGUUGUUUAUACAAUAUGGAAAUUAAUGUGAAAUUAAAACACAAAGUAUUAAUAGAAAGGUAAUGACUGUCCUGUGUAGGUGACAGUGAUAUCCAAUAGGCUAGGCACUCACGAGGCUGGCUGUGGCAAGUGUAAGUGAAAGCAACACGCACUGGCAGGAAGAACAGCAAACGCCGAUGAAGGAAAAGGGUCUUUGCAGUGAUGGGCGUUACCAGAGAGGGCGAUGGCCAGAGGACACAAAUGGGACGGGGAGGCAGCGCGUUGGGGGGGGGACGCGACACAGCUCGGGCCCGCCAGUGCCCCAACGGGGUCCUAGUUCUUUCUUUCUUUCUUUCUUUCUUCUUUUUCCUCCCCUUUGAACUGGAAAAUGGCCCACUUCCCACUGGCGAAAACUCAUGAAAUUUGGCAGGACGACCGGGCCUGGUGAAAAAUUCGAUAUUCUGAAGUCGCCCAAACAAUAAAAUGCAAAAUGGCUCCAUAGCGCCCCCUAAGGUGGAAAUUCACACUAUUGACUGUCACGCCUGUACGCUUUGUCAUAUUGACACAAAAAUUGACACACAUAUGUAUCUCAAUAAGAUCUACAAAAAAGUCAGUGCGGCCGUAUCUGUCAAAUGUACGGUUAAAGGGUUAUUUCGCAUUUUUUUCCGAUCCGCACACAUUGGAAUUUCGCUAACUCCUCCAAAGGCUUUCGUUCCACCGGCACCACAUUUGCUCAGGCCAAUCUACACCCCGUGGCCAUUAAAAGUUAUCAAAAUCAUGACGCUGCACCCCAAGGUUUAGGUUCUAGGGGGCGCCAAAGAUAACACUAAAAUCCACAUAUUUAAAAGUCUUAUAACUUUUUAUUUUUGUCCUCACUGGCCUCCAAGUUUUCUAGGAUGAUGCAAUGUCCAGCCAUCAACACAUUUGUGAAGGAAUUUUUACUCCCCAAAAGAGCGCCCCCCCAUGGCAGGAGAAAAAAGUCCAUUUUUCUUGUCCCCUAAGGUGAAAAUACACAUUGUUGAGUGUCACGCCUAUACGCUUUGUCAAAAUGACACAAAAAUUGACACACACAUCUAACUCAAUAAGAUCUACGAAAAAGUCAAUGCGCGCGUAUCUGUCAAAUGUACGGUUAAAGGGUUAUUCCGCAUUUUUUGCCGAUCCGCACACAUUGGAAUGUGGCUAACUCCUCCUAAGGCUUUCGUUCCACCGGCACCACAUUUGCUCAGGCCAAUCUACACCCCAUGGCCAUUAAAAGUUAUUCAAAUCAUGACGCUGCACCCCACGGUUUAGGUUCUAGGGGGCGCCAAAGAUAACCCUAAAAUCCAGAUAUUUCAAAGUCUUAUAACUUUUUAUUUAAGUCCUCACUGGCCUCCAAGUUUUCUAGGAUGAUGCAAUGUCCAGCCAUCAACACAUUUGUGAAGGAAUUUUUACUCCCCAAAAGAGCGCCCCAUGGCAGGAGAAAAAAGUCCAUUUUUUCUUGUCCCAUAAGGUGAAAAAACACAUUGUUGACUGUCAUACCUGUACGCUUUGUCAUAUUGACACAAAAUCUGACAAUCACAUGUAUCUCAAUAAGAUCUACGAAAAAGUCAAUGCGUGCGUAUCUGUAAAAUGUACGGUUAAAGGGCUAUUUUGCAUUUUUUGCCGAUUCGCACACAUUGGAAUGUGGCUAACUCCUCCUAAGGCUUUCGUCCCACUGACACCAAAUUUGCUCAGGCCAAUCUACACCCCAUGGCCAUUCAAAGUUGUAAAAAUCAUGACGCUGCACCCCACGGUUUACGUUCUAGGGGGCGCCAAAGAUGACCCAAAUAUCCACAUUCUUAAAAGAAUCCACCCCCCCCAUCCCCCAACCCCCAACCCCCAUGGCAGGAGAAACAGUCAAGUUUUUCCUGCCCAUCACUCAAUGGCUCAAUCGCAUCACUCUCCCGGCAACACCGUAACGAGGAGCAACUUGCCAUUUGGAUAUAUCCUAGCUGUGUUUGUGCCCUCACUCAUGGUCCAGACUUUUUUCAAAUAGGACAUGUAGUUUGUCUGCAGCGAGUGUUUUGGUAGAAACUGCACCUCCCAUUCAUUAUAAUGGGAAAUGACCACAGACAAGUGCGCACACCAUCUUUGGACCUUGAGUGUGACGCGAUCGGGAGGGGGAGGCGGUCGCGCUGGGGGCGGCGCAACGCGGCUCGGGCCCGACAGUGCCCCACCGGGGCCCUAGUUACCUUUCUAUUAAUACUUUGUGUUUUAAUUUCACAUUAAUUUCCAUAUUGUAUAAACGACUGGAAAAAACUUGAGCCCCUGCCCCUGUAUAAUCAUGUGCAUGUCUCUGUUCUAGCUCCAAGGUGAAUCUUCACUGCUCAUGUUCUCCUCAGAAGCACUCACCUCACUCCCCUCAGGUUACUGUACACAUGCACCAACUGCCUGCUUCAGGUUUGGAUGGAGCUUCAUGGUUGUCUUUUGGAGAAAUGACCAGUCAAGUUGUGUUUGAAAUUUGAUUUUUUUCAGGGGCAAAAGGAGCCUCUGCAUUCUUGUCAAAUAUGUAAAUAGCAUGUUUUUGCAGGUGCUAAAAACCAGACUCUGAGUGUGUGUGUGUGUGUGUGUGUGUGUGUGCGUGUGUGUGUGUCUGUGUGUGCGUUCAAGUCACAUGACAUAUUUAACCGGAUGUAGCUGCAAGACGGAGCCUCGUUGACUCUCCGUUUCAACUUAUCUCAAAAGUGAGGACCUCAACCUAUAUACCAGUUUUUAAAUUGUGUUGAUAGGCCAAAUAAAACCAGAGUUAUGAUAAAUUAUGUCCGCGAUACUUUUUUUCUGCUUAUUUUGAUCACGUUCGGCGCUCGAUCGCGCUGUAUGAGACAGGAAAACAUAGCAUGCAGACAUUAGCGACAGCUCUUACAGGCGGAAAAGGCUUGCCAAAAGAAAAAAAAAACACACCACAACAUCUCUCCUAUUGGUGGAAAACUUCACCACAACAACCAAUCCAAAAUUAUAUGGUGACUGAUUGACAAGGGGGGGGCGCUUACGUUCUUCCUGCAACAUGAGAAGGGAGGGAGGGACUCUCAGCAGGGAUGCAGUCUGGGACACGUAGUUGCAAACCUAGCGACUUUGUUGUUAGAUUCAAUGACUUUUCAGACCCCCUAACGACUUUUUUUUAGAAAGAAAGGGACUUUUAUCGACUUCUUCUGGAGUUUAGAGACUCUGACAUGAAGCAGGCUUUCCUUACUGAGGAGUUAGCAACGCUGCUAAGGGUGCAGAGCCACACAUGCGCUCAGAGCUCUGCAUGGGAGACUGAAGCUGACAGAGCUGCAGCAGUUAGCAGGUUUCACCCUCAGAGACCACCAGGGGUUCAUGUUGAGGCAUUUUAAUUUAUUUUUUUUUUUUUGUGCCAUAGACACUGUCAGCACAAUCUGCAGUUACACUAACAAAAAUGCUGCAAAAAACAAAGAAUUAUGGAAAAAUUACACAUGGACUGACAUAGAGGAGGAUCUACACAAGUUUUUUACAUCAUGUUUUACAUCAUGCAUCAUUUACAUCAUGUUUUUUUGUAGUGGCAUAAAUAAAAAGUGACAUUUGUGAGACUAUACAGUGUUUUGUAAAUAAUUUUACAAAGAACGCCUGGGCCAUUGCCUGCAUUUUGAUGUAAAUAGAGGUAAAUCACUAUGUUCUUUGUUAAAAAUUUGCAUAUGUUUUGAAGUUUACAAUUUUUAUUUGAAGUUUAAGUUUUAAAAACAGUUCAUCACACAUAUUUGUGGUUUUCACAGUAAAAAUGUUACUUUUUUCCACUCGGAUUUUAUGUUUUGUGUGUGAAUUUGGGUCCAUUGUGUAAAUUCAGUAUGUCAACAUGAUAAAAUAACUGUAAAUUCGCACAGGUGAGGUUGUGCUGAAAAAAAUGAUACCAGGCAAGGCACGUGAUUGUCAAAUUUUGUGUCAAUAUGACAAAGCGUAUAGGCGUGAAUCUCAACAAUAUGUAUUUUCACCUUAGAGGACAAGAAAAAAUGGACUUUUUUCUCCUGCCAUGGGGGGGCGCUCUUUUGGGGAGUAAAAAUUCCUUCACAAAUGUGUUGAUGGCUGGACAUUGCAUCAUCCUAGAAAACUUGGAGGCCAGUGAGGACAAAAAUAAAAAGUUAUAAGACUUUUAAAUAUGUGGAUUUUAGGGUUAUCUUUGGCGCCCCCUAGAACCUAAACCGUGGGGUGCAGCGUCAUGAUUUUGAUAACUUUUAAUGGCCAUGGGGUGUAGAUUGGCCUGAGCAAAUGUGGUGCCGGUGGAACGAAAGCCUUAGGAGGAGUUAGCGAAAUUCCAAUGUGUGCGGAUCGGCAAAAAAUGCGGAAUAACCCUUUAACCGUACAUUUGACAGAUACGCACGCAUUGACUUUUUCGUAGAUCUUAUUGAGUUACAUGUGUGUGUCAAUUUUUGUGUCAUUUUGACAAAGCGUAUAGGCGUGACACUCAACAAUGUGUAUUUUCACCUUAGGGGACAAGAAAAAAUGGACUUUUUUCUCCUGCCAUGGGGGGGCGCUCUUUUGGGGAGUAAAAAUUCCUUCACAAAUGUGUUGAUGGCUGGACAUUGCAUCAUCCUAGAAAACUUGGAGGCCAGUGAGGACAAAAAUAAAAAGUUAUAAGACUUUUAAAUAUGUGGAUUUUAGUGUUAUCUUUGGCGCCCCCUAGAACCUAAACCUUGGGGUGCAGCGUCAUGAUUUUGAUAACUUUUAAUGGCCACGGGGUGUAGAUUGGCCUGAGCAAAUGUGGUGCCGGUGGAACGAAAGCCUUCGGAGGAGUUAGCGAAAUUCCAAUGUGUGCGGAUCGGCAAAAAAUGCGAAAUAACCCUUUAACCGUAAUUUUGACAGAUACGGCCGCACUGACUUUUUUGUAGAUCUUAUUGAGAUACAUAUGUGUGUCAAUUUUUGUGUCAAUAUGACAAAGCGUACAGGCGUGACAGUCAAUAGUGUGAAUUUUCACCUUAGGGGGCGCUAUGGAGCCAUUUUGCAUUUUAUUGUUUGGGCGACUUCAGAAUAUCAAAUUUUUCACCAGGCCCGGUCGUCCUGCCAAAUUUCAUGAGUUUUCGCCAGUGGGAAGUGGGCCAUUUUCCAGUUCAAAGGGGAGGAAAAAGAAAAAAGAAAGAAAGAAACAAAGAAAAACCACUUGGGGAAUAAUAGGGCCUACGCCCGGCUGCUCUGCAGCUGGCUCGGGCCCUAACUAGGACCCCGUUGGGGCACUGGCGGGCCCGAGCUGUGUCGCGCCCCCCCCCCCAACGCGCUGCCUCCCCGUCCCAUUUGUGUCCUCUGGCCAUCGCCCUCUUUGGUAACACCCAUCACUGCAAAGACCCUUUUCCUUCAUCGGCGUUUGCUGUUCUUCCUGCCAGUGCGUGUUGCUUUCACUUACACUUGCCACAGCCAGCCUCGUGAGUGCCUAGCCUAUUGGAUAUCACUGUCACCUACACAGGACAGUCAUUACCUUUCUAUUAAUACUUUGUUUUUUAAUUUCACAUUAAUUUCCAAAUUGUAUAAACGACUGGAAAAAACUUGAGCCCCUGCCCCUGUAUAAUCAUGUGCACGUCUCUGUUCUAGCUCUAAGGUAAAUCUUCACUGCUCAUGUUCUCCUCAGAAGCAGUCACCUCACUCCCCUCAGGUUACUGUACACAUGCACCAACUGCCUGCUUCAGGUUUGGAUGGAGCUUCAUGGUUGUCUUUUGGAGAAAUGACCAGUCAAGUUGUGUUUGAAAUUUGAUUUUUUUCAGGGGCAAAAGGAGCCUCUGCAUUCUUGUCAAAUAUGUAAAUAGCAUGUUUUUGCAGGUGCUACAAACCAGACUCUGAGUGUGUGUGUGUGCGUGUGUGUGUGUGUCUGUGUGUGUGUGUGUGUGUGCGUUCAAGUCACAUGACAUAUUUAACCGGAUGUAGCUGCAAGACGGAGCCUCGUUGACUCUCCGUUUCAAUUUAUCUCAAAAGUGAGGACCUCAACCUAUAUACCAGUUUUUAAAUUGUGUUGAUAGGCCAAAUAAAACCAGAGUUAUGAUAAAUUAUGUCCGCGAUACUUGUUUUCUGCUUAUUUUGAUCACGUUCGGCGCUCGAUCGCGCUGUAUGAGACAGGAAAACAUAGCAUGCAGACAUUAGCGACAGGUCUUACAGGCGGAAAAGGCUUGCCAAAGGAAAAAAAAUACACACCACAACAUCUCUCCUAUUGGUGGAAAACUUCACCACAACAACCAAUCCAAAAUUAUAUGGUGACUGAUUGACAAGGGGCGGGAACUUACGUUCUUCCUGCAAUAUGAGAAGGGAGGGAGGGACUCUCAGCAGGGAUGCAGUCUGGGACACGUAGUUGCAAACCUAGCGACUUUGUUGUUAGAUUCAAUGACUUUUCAGACCCCCUAACGACUUUUUUUUAGAAAGAAAGUGACUUUUAUCGACUUCUUCUGGAGUUUAGAGACUCUGACAUGAAGCAGGCUUUCCUUACUGAGGAGUUAGCAACGCUGCUAAGGGUGCAGAGCCACACAUGCGCUCCGAGCUCUGCAUGGGAGACUGAAGCUGACAGAGCUGCAGCAGUUAGCAGGUUUCACCCUCAGAGACCACCAGGGGUUCAUGUUGAGGCAUUUUCAGUUUUUUUUUUUUUUUUUUUUGCCAUAGACACUGUCAGCACAAUCUGCAGUUACACUAACAAAAAUGCUGCAAAAAACAAAGAAUUAUGGAAAAAUUACACAUGGACUAACAUAGAGGAGGAUCUACACAAGUUUUUUACAUCAUGUUUUACAUCAUGCAUCAUUUACAUCAUGUUUUUUUGUAGUGGCAUAAAUAAAAAGUGACAUUUGUGAGACUAUACAGUGUUUUGUAAAUAAUUUUACAAAGAACACCUGGGCCAUUGCCUGCAUUUUGAUGUCAAUAGAGGUAAAUUACUAUGUUCUUUGUUAAAAAUUUGCAUAUGUUUUGAAGUUUACAAUUUUUAUUUGAAGUUUAAGUUUUAAAAACAGUUCAUCACACAUAUUUGUGGUUUUCACAGUAAAAACGUUACUUUUUUCCACUCGGAUUUUAUGUUUUGUGUGUGAAUUUGGGUCCAAUGUGUAAAUAUAGUAUGUCAAAAUGAUAAAAUAACUGUAAAUUGACACAGGUGAGGUUGUGCUGAAAAAAAUGAUACCAGGCAAGGCAAGGUAAAAAUUUUGUAAGAGGAAAUAUAAAGGUAAAAUCUAAAGUAGUCAAAAACGGCCAAUAGUGACUCACAGACUCCACAGACAAGUCCCUUUGGCGCCACUCAGUGGGCAAAACUACUUUGUCUACUGUAAUGUAUAUUUGGGUCAUCUUUGGCGCCCCCUAAAACGUAAACCGUGGGGUGCAGCGUCAUGAUUUUUACAACUUUGAAUGGCCAUGGAGUGUAGAUUGGCCUGAGCAAAUUUGGUGUCAGUGGGACGAAAGCCUUAGGAGGAGUUAGCGAAAUUCCAAUGUGUGCGAAUCGGCAAAAAAUGCAAAAUAGCCCUUUUACCGUACAUUAUACAGAUACGCGCUCUUUGACUUUUUCGUAGAUCUAAUUGAGAUACACAUGAUUGUCAAUUUUUGUGUCAUUUUGCCAAAGCGUACAGGCGUGACAGUCAACAAUGUGUAUUUUCACCUUAGGGGACAAGAAAAAAUGGACUUUUUUCUCCUGCCAUGGGGGGCGCUCUUUUAGGGAGUAAAAAUUCCUUCACAAAUGUGUUGAUGGCUGGACAUUGCAUCAUCCUAGAAAACUUGGAGGCCAGUGAGGACAAAAAUAAAAAGUUAUAAGACUUUUAAAAAUGUGGAUUUUUGGGUUAUCUUUGGCGCCCCCUAGAACGUAAACCGUGGGGUGCAGCGUCAUGAUUUGAAUAACUUUUAAUGGCCAUGGGGUGUAGAUUGGCCUGAGCAAAUGUGGUGCCGGUGGAACGAAAGCCUUCGGAGGAGUUAGCGAAAUUCCAAUGUGUGCGGAUCGGCAAAAAAUGCGAAAUAACCCUUUAACCGUACAUUAGACAGAUACGCGCGCAUGGACUUUUUUGUAGAUCUUAUUGAGAUACAUGUGUGUGUCAAUUUUUGUGUCAUUUUGACAAAGCGUACAGGCGUGACAGUCAAUAGUGUGAAUUUUCACCUUAGGGGACAAGAAAAAAUGGACUUUUUUCUCCUGCCAUGGGGGGGCGCUCUUUUGGGGAGUAAAAAUUCCUUCACAAAUGUGUUGAUGGCUGGACAUUGCAUCAUCCUAGAAAACUUGGAGGCCAGUGAGGGCAAAAAUAAAAAGUUAUAAGACUUUUAAAUAUGUGGAUUUUAGGGUUAUCUUUGGCGCCCCCUAGAACCUAAACCGUGGGGUGCAGCGUCAUGAUUUGAAUAACUUUUAAUGGCCAUGGGGUGUAGAUUGGCCUGAGCAAAUGUGGUGCCGGUGGAACGAAAGCCUUCGGAGGAGUUAGCGAAAUUCCAAUGUGUGCGGAUCGGCAAAAAAUGCGAAAUAACCCUUUAACCGUACAUUUGACAGAUACGCCCGCACUGACUUUCUUGUAGAUCUUAUUGAGAUACAUGUGUGUGUCAAUUUUUGUGUCAUUUUGACAAAGCGUACAGGCGUGACAGUCAAUAGUGUGAAUUUUCACCUUAGGGGGCGCUAUGGAGCCAUUUUGCAUUUUCUUGUUUGGGCGACUUCGGAAUAUCAAAUUUUUUACCAGGCCCGGUCGUCCUGCCAAAUUUCAUGAGUUUUCGCCAGUGGGAAGUGGGCCAUUUUCCAGUUCAAAGGGGAGGAAAAAGAAAAAAGAAAGAAAGAAACAAAGAAAAACUAGGGCCCCGUUGGGGCACUGGCGGGCCCGAGCUGUGUCGCCCCCCCCCCCCCCCCCCCCAACGCGCUGCCUCCCCGUCCCAUUCGCGUCCUCUGGCCAUCGUCCUCUCUGGUAACGCCCAUCACUGCAAAGACCCUUUUCCUUCAUCGGCGUUUGCUGUUCUUCCUGCCAGUGCGUGUUGCUUUCACUUACACUUGCCACAGCCAGCCUUGUGAGUGCCUAGCCUAUUGGAUAUCACUGUCACCUACACAGGACAGUCAUUACCUUUCUAUUAAUACUUUGUUUUUUAAUUUCACAUUAAUUUCCAUAUUGUAUAAACGACUGGAAAAAACUUGAGCCCCUGCCCCCGUAUAAUCAUGUGCACGUCCCUGUUCUCGCUCCAAGGUGAAUCUUCACUGCUCAUGUUCUCCUCAGAAGCAGUCACCUCACUCCCCUCAGGUUACUGUACACAUGCACCAACUGCCUGCUUCAGGUUUGGAUGGAGCUUCAUGGUUGUCUUUUGGAGAAAUGAGCAGCCAAGUUGUGUUAGAAAUUUGAUUUUUUUCAGGGGCAAAAGGAAGCCUCUGCAUUGUUGUCAAAUAUGUAAAUAGCAUGUUUUUGCAGGUGCUAAAAAACAGACUCUGAGUGUGUGUGUGUGUGUGUGUGUGUGUGUGUGUGUGUCUGUGUGUGUGUGUGUCUGUGUGUGUGUAUCCUGCAGUACUCUGUACUCCUGCAGUGGCCAAAACGACUUUUAAGAAUGUGGAUAUUUGGGUCAUCUUUGGCGCCCCCUAGAACGUAAACCAUGGGGUGCAGCGGCAUGAUUUUUACAACUUUGAAUGGCCAUGGGGUGUAGAUUGGCCUGAGCAAAUUUGGUGUCAGUGGGACGAAAGCCUUAGGAGGAGUUAGCCACAUUCCAAUGUGUGCGAAUCGGCAAAAAAUGCAAAAUAGCCCUUUAGCCGUACAUUUUACAGAUACGCGCCCAUUGACUUUUUCGUAGAUCUUAUUGAGAUACACGUGUGUGUCAAAUUUUUUGUCAAUACGACAAAGCGUACAGGCGUGACACUCAACAAUGUGUAUUUUCACCUUAGGGGACAAGAAAAAAUGGACUUUUUAUUCCUGCCAUGGGGGGGCGCUCUUUUGGGGAGUAAAAAUUCCUUCACAAAUGUGUUGAUGGCUGGACAUUGCAUCAUCCUAGAAAACUUGGAGGCCAGUGAGGACAAAAAAAAAAAAUUAUAAAACUUUUAAGAAUGUGGAUUUUUGGGUUAUUUUUGGCGCCCCCUAGAACCUAAACCAUGGGGUGCAGCAUUAUGAUUUGUACAACUUUGAAUGGCCAUGGAGUGUAGAUUGGCCUGAGCAAAUGUGGUGCCGGUGGAACGAAAGCCUUCGGAGGAGUUAGCGAAAUUCCAAUGUGUGCGGAUCUGCAAAAAAUGCAAAAUAACCCUUUAACCGUACAUUUGACAGAUACGCCCGCACUGACUUUUUUGUAGAUCUUAUUGAGAUACAUGUGUGUGUCAAUUUUUGUGUCAAUAUGACAAAGCGUACAGGCGUGACAGUCAAUAGUGUGAAUUUUCACCUUAGGGGGCGCUAUGGAGCCAUUUUGCAUUUUCUUGUUUGGGCGACUUCAGAAUAUCGAAUUUUUCACCAGGCCCGGUCGUCCUGCCAAAUUUCAUGAGUUUUCGCCAGUGGGAAGUGGGCCAUUUUCCAGUUUAAAGCGGAGGAAAAAUAAUAAUAAUAACAAACUAGGACCCCGUUGGGGCACUGGCGGGCCCGAGCCGUGUCGCGUCCCCCCCCCCCCCCCAACGUGCUGCCUUCCCGUCCCAUUUGUGUCCUCUGGCCAUCGCCCUCUCUGGUAACGCCCAUCACUGCAAAGACCCUUUUCCUUCAUCGGCGUUUGCUGUUCUUCCUGCCAGUGCGUGUUGCUUUCACUUACACUUGCCACAGCCAGCCUCGUGAGUGCCUAGCCUAUUGGAUAUCACUGUCACCUACACAGGACAGUCAUUACCUUUCUAUUAAUACUUUGUGUUUUAAUUUCACAUUAAUUUCCAUAUUGUAUAAACGACUGGAAAAAACUUGAGCCCCUGCCCCUGUAUAAUCAUGUGCAUGUCUCUGUUCUAGCUCCAAGGUGAAUCUUCACUGCUCAUGUUCUCCUCAGAAGCACUCACCUCACUCCCCUCAGGUUACUGUACACAUGCACCAACUGCCUGCUUCAGGUUUGGAUGGAGCUUCAUGGUUGUCUUUUGGAGAAAUGAGCAGUCAAGUUGUGUUUGAAAUUUGAUUUUUUUCAGGGGCAAAAGGAGCCUCUGCAUUCUGGUCAAAUAUGUAAAUAGCAUGUUUUUGCAGGUGCUAAAAACCAGACUCUGAGUGUGUGUGUGUGUGUGUGUGUGUGUGUGUGUGUGUGUGUGUGUGUGUGUGUGUGCGUGUGUGUGUGUCUGUGUGUGCGUUCAAGUCACAUGACAUAUUUAACCGGAUGUAGCUGCAAGACGGAGCCUCGUUGACUCUCCGUUUCAACUUAUCUCAAAAGUGAGGACCUCAACCUAUAUACCAGUUUUUAAAUUGUGUUGAUAGGCCAAAUAAAACCAGAGUUAUGAUAAAUUAUGUCCGCGAUACUUUUUUUCUGCUUAUUUUGAUCACGUUCGGCGCUCGAUCGCGCUGUAUGAGACAGGAAAACAUAGCAUGCAGACAUUAGCGACAGGUCUUACAGGCGGAAAAGGCUUGCCAAAAGAAAAAAAAAACACACCACAACAUCUCUCCUAUUGGUGGAAAACUUCACCACAACAACCAAUCCAAAAUUAUAUGGUGACUGAUUGACAAGGGGCGGGCGCUUACGUUCUUCCUGCAACAUGAGAAGGGAGGGAGGGACUCUCAGCAGGGAUGCAGUCUGGGACACGUAGUUGCAAACCUAGCGACUUUGUUGUUAGAUUCAAUGACUUUUCAGACCCCCUAACGACUUUUUUUUUAGAAAGAAAGGGACUUUUAUCGACUACUUCUGGAGUUUAGAGACUCUGACAUGAAGCAGGCUUUCCUUACUGAGGAGUUAGCAACGCUGCUAAGGGUGCAGAGCCACACAUGCGCUCAGAGCUCUGCAUGGGAGACUGAAGCUGACAGAGCUGCAGCAGUUAGCAGGUUUCACCCUCAGAGACCACCAGGGGUUCAUGUUGAGGCAUUUUAAUUUUUUUUUUUUUUUGUGCCAUAGACACUGUCAGCACAAUCUGCAGUUACACUAACAAAAAUGCUGCAAAAAACAAAGAAUUAUGGAAAAAUUACACAUGGACUGACAUAGAGGAGGAUCUACACAAGUUUUUUACAUCAUGUUUUACAUCAUGCAUCAUUUACAUCAUGUUUUUUUGUAGUGGCAUAAAUAAAAAGUGACAUUUGUGAGACUAUACAGUGUUUUGUAAAUAAUUUUACAAAGAACGCCUGGGCCAUUGCCUGCAUUUUGAUGUAAAUAGAGGUAAAUUACUAUGUUCUUUGUUAAAAAUUUGCAUAUGUUUUGAAGUUUACAAUUUUUAUUUGAAGUUUAAGUUUUAAAAACAGUUCAUCACACAUAUUUGUGGUUUAAUUUCACAUUAAUUUCCAUAUUGUAUAAAUGACUGGAAAAAACUUGAGCCCCUGCCCCUGUAUAAUCAUGUGCACGUCCCUGUUCUAGCUCCAAGGUGAAUCUUCACUGCUCAUGUUCUCCUCAGAAAUAGUCACCUCACUCCCCUCAGGUUACUGUACACAUGCACCAACUAUCUGCUUCAGGUUUGAAAUGGAGCUUCAUGGUUGUCUUUUGGAGAAAUGAACAGUCAAGUUGUGUUUGAAAUUUGAUUUUUUUCAGGGGCAAAAGGAAGCCUCUGCAUUCUUGUCAAAUAUGUAAACAGCAUGUUUUUGCAGGUGCUAAAAAACAGACUCUGAGUGUGUGUGUGUGUCUGUGUGUGUGUGUGUGUGUGUGUAUGUUGGCGUGUGUGUAUAUGUGUGUGUAUCCUGCAGUACUCUGUACUCCUGCAGUGGCCAAAAAGACUUUUAAGAAUGUGGAUUUUUGGGUCAUCUUUGGCGCCCCCUAGAACUGCAGUACUCUGUACUCCUGCAGUGGCCAAAAUGACUUUUAAGAAUGUGGAUUUUUGGGUCAUCUUUGGCGCCCCCUAGAACGUAAACCGUGGGGUGCAGCGUCAUGAUUUUUACAACUUUGAAUGGGCAUGGGGUGUAGAUUGCCCUGAGCAAAUUUGGUAUCGGUGGGACGAAAGCCUUAGGAGGAGAUAGCCACAUUCCAAUGUGUGCGAAUCGGCAAAAAAUGCAAAAUAGCCCUUUAACCGUACAUUAUACAGAUACGCGCUCUUUGACUUUUUUGUAGAUCUAAUUGAGAUACACAUGAUUGUCAAUUUUUGUGUCAAUAUGACAAAGCGUUCAGGCGUGACACUCAACAAUGUGUAUUUUCAUGUAAGGGGACAAGAAAAAAUUGACUUUUUUCUCCUACCAUGGGGGGGCGCUCUUUUGGGGAGUAAAAAUUCCUUCACAAAUGUGUUGAUGGCUGGACAUUGCAUCAUCCUAGAAAACUUGGAGGCCAGUGAGGACAAAAAUAAAAAGUUAUAAAACAUUUAAGAAUGUGGAUUUUUGGGUUAUUUUUGGCGCCCCCUAGAACCUAAACCAUGGGGUGCAGCAUCAUGAUUUGAAUAACUUUUAAUGGCCAUGGGGUGUAGAUUGGCCUGAGCAAAUGUGGUGCCGGUGGAACGAAAGCCUUCGGAGGAGUUAGCGAAAUUCCAAUGUGUGCGUAUCGGCAAAAAAUGCGGAAUAACCCUUUAACUGUACAUUUGACAGAUACGCGCGCAUUGACUUUUUUGUAGAUCUUAUUGAGUUACAUGUGUGUGUCAAUUUUUGUGUCAUUUUGACAAAGCGUAUAGGCGUGACACUCAACAAUGUGUAUUUUCACCUUAGGAGACAAGAAAAAAUGGACUUUUUUCUCCUGCCAUGGGGGGGCGCUCUUUUGGGGAGUAAAAAUUCCUUCACAAAUGUGUUGAUGGCUGGACAUUGCAUCAUCCUAGAAAACUUGGAGGCCAGUGAGGACAAAAAUAAAAAGUUAUAAGACUUUUAAAUAUGUGGAUUUUAGUGUUAUCUUUGGCGCCCCCUAGAACCUAAACCUUGGGGUGCAGCGUCAUGAUUUUGAUAACUUUUAAUGGCCACGGGGUGUAGAUUGUCCUGAGCAAAUGUGGUGCCGGUGGAACGAAAGCCUUCGGAGGAGUUAGCGAAAUUCCAAUGUGUGCGGAUUGGAUAAAAAUGCGAAAUAACCCUUUAACCGUACAUUUGACAGAUACGGCCGCACUGACUUUUUUGUAGAUCUUAUUGAGAUACAUAUGUGUGUCAAUUUUUGUGUCAAUAUGACAAAGCGUACAGGCGUGACAGUCAAUAGUGUGAAUUUCCACCUUAGGGGGCGCUAUGGAGCCAUUUUGCAUUUUAUUGUUUGGGCGACUUCAGAAUAUCGAAUUUUUCACCAGGCCCGGUCGUCCUGCCAAAUUUCAUGAGUUUUCGCCAGUGGGAAGUGGGCCAUUUUCCAGUUCAAAGGGGAGGAAAAAGAAGAAAGAAAGAAACAAAGAAAAACCCCUUGGGGAAUAAUAGGGCUCUCGCAGCUGCUUAGCAGCUACGCUCGGGCCCUAACUAGGGCCCCGGUGGGGCACUGUCGGGCCCGAGCCGCGUCGCGCCGCCCCCAGCGCGACCGCCUCCCCCUCCUGAUCGCAUCACACUCAAGGUCCAAAGAUGGUGUGCGCACUUGUCUGUGGUCAUUUCCCAUUAUAAUGAAUGGGAGGCGCAGUUUCUACCAAAACGGUCGCUGCAGACAAACUACAUGUCCUAUUUGAAAAAAGUGUGGAUCAUGAGUGAGGGCACAAACACAGCUAGGAUAUAUCCAAAUGGCAAGUUGCUCCUCCUUACGGUGUUGCCAGGAGAGCGAUGCGAUUGAGCCAUUGAGCGAUGGGCAGGGUUAACUGGACUUUUUCUCCUGCCUUGGGGGGGGGGGGGGGAUGUGGAUUCUUUUAAGAAUGUGGAUAUUUGGGUCAUCUUUGGCGCCCCCUAGAACGUAAACCAUGGGGUGCAGCGGCAUGAUUUUUACAACUUUGAAUGGCCAUGGGAUGUAGAUCGGCUUGAGCAAAUUUGGUGUCGGUGGAAAGAAAGCCUUAGGAGGAGUUAGCCACAUUCCAAUGUGUGCGAAUCGGCAAAAAAUGCGAAAUAGCCCUUUAACCGUACAUUUUACAGAUACGUGCCCAUUGACUUUUUCGUAGAUCUUAUUGAGAUACACGUGUGUAUCAAAUUUUGUGUCAUUUUGACAAAGCGUAUAGGCGUGACACUCAACAAUGUGUUUUUUCCCCUUAGGGGACAAGAAAAAAUGGACUUUUUUCUCCUGCCAUGGGGGGGCGCUCUUUUCGGGAGUAAAAAUUCCUUCACAAAUGUGUUGAUGGCUGGACAUUGCAUCAUCCUAGAAAACUUGGAGGCCAGUGAGGACAAAAAUAAAAAGUUAUAAGACUAUUAAGAAUGUGGAUUUUUGGGUUAUCUUUGGCGCCCCCUAGAACCUAAACCGUGGAGUGCAGCGUCAUGAUUUGUACAACUUUUAAUGGCCAUGGGGUGUAGAUUGGCCUGAGCAAAUUUGGUGGCGGUGGAACUAAAGCCUUCGGAGGAGUUAGCGAAAUUCCAAUGUGUGCGGAUCGGGAAAAAAUGCGAAAUAACCCUUUAACCGUACAUUUUACAGAUACGUGCCCAUUGACUUUUUCGUAGAUCUUAUUGAGAUACACGUGAUUGUCAAAUUUUGGGUCAAUAUGACAAAGCGUAUAGGCGUGACACUCAACAAUGUGUAUUUUCACCUUAGGGGACAAGAAAAAAUUGACUUUUUUCUCCUGCCAUGUGGGGGCGCUCUUUUGGGGAGUAAAAAUUCCUUCACAAAUGUGGUGAUGGCUGGACAUUGCAUCAUCCUAGAGAACUUGGAGGCCAGUGAGGACAAAAAUAAAAAGUUAUAAGACUUUUAAGACUGUGGAUUUUAGGGUUAUCUUUGGCGCCCCCUAGAACGUAAACCGUGGGGUGCAGCGUCAUGAUUUGUACAACUUUUAAUGGCCAUGGGGUGUAGAUUGGCCUGAGCAAAUGUGGUGCCGGUGGAACGAAUGCCUUCGGAGGAGUUAGCGAAAUUCCAAUGUGUGCAGAUCGGCAAAAAUGCGAAAUAACCCUCUAACCAUACAUUUCACAGAUGCGCCCGCGCUGACUUUUUCGUAGACCGUAUUGAGAUACACGUGUGUGUCAAUUUUUGUGUCAAUAUGACAAAGCGUACAGGCGUGACAGUCAAUAGUGUGAAUUUUCGCCUUAGGGGGCGCUAUGGAGCCAUUUUGCAUUUUAUUGUUUGGGCGACUUCAGAAUAUCGAAUUUUUCACCAGGCCCGGUCGUCCUGCCAAAUUUCAUGAGUUUUCGCCAGUGGGAAGUGGGCCAUUUUCCCCUUCAAAGGGGAGGAAAAAUAAGAAGAAAGAAAGAAAGAAAGAAGAAAGACUAGGACCCCGUUGGGGCACUGGCGGGCCCGAGCCGUGUCGCGUCCCCCCCCCCAACGCGCUGCCUCCCCGUCCCAUUUGUGUCCUCUGGCCAUCGCCCUCUCUGGUAACGCCCAUCACUGCAAAGACCCUUUUCUUUCAUCGGCGUUUGCUGUUCUUCCUGCCAGUGCGUGUUGCUUUCACUUACACUUGCCACAGCCAGCCUCGUGAGUGCCUAGCCUAUUGGAUAUCACUGUCACCUACACAGGAGGUGAAUUAAUUAUGUUAAGGUGAAUCUUCACUGCUCAUGUUCUCCUCAGAAGCACUCACCUCACUCCCCUCAGGUUACUGUACACAUGCACCAACUGCCUGCUUCAGGUUUGGAUGGAGCUUCAUGGUUGUCUUUUGGAGAAAUGACCAGUCAAGUUGUGUUUGAAAUUUGAUUUUUUUCAGGGGCAAAAGGAGCCUCUGCAUUCUUGUCAAAUAUGUAAAUAGCAUGUUUUUGCAGGUGCUAAAAACCAGACUCUGAGUGUGUGUGUGUGCGUGUGUGUGUGUGUCUGUGUGUGUGUGUGUGUGUGUGUGUGUGCGUUCAAGUCACAUGACAUAUUUAACCGGAUGUAGCUGCAAGACGGAGCCUCGUUGACUCCGUUUCAACUUAUCUCAAAAGUGAGGACCUCAACCUAUAUACCAGUUUUUAAAUUGUGUUGAUAGGCCAAAUAAAACCAGAGUUAUGAUAAAUUAUGUCCGCGAUACUUGUUUUCUGCUUAUUUUGAUCACGUUCGGCGCUCGAUCGCGCUGUAUGAGACAGGAAAACAUAGCAUGCAGACAUUAGCGACAGGUCUUACAGGCGGAAAAGGCUUGCCAAAGGAAAAAAAAACACACCACAACAUCUCUCCUAUUGGUGGAAAACUUCACCACAACAACCAAUCCAAAAUUAUAUGGUGACUGAUUGACAAGGGGCGGGCGCUUACGUUCUUCCUGCAACAUGAGAAGGGAGGGAGGGACUCUCAGCAGGGAUGCAGUCUGGGACACGUAGUUGCAAACCUAGCGACUUUGUUGUUAGAUUCAAUGACUUUUCAGACCCCCUAACGACUUUUUUUUUUAGAAAGAAAGUGACUUUUAUCGACUUCUUCUGGAGUUUAGAGACUCUGACAUGAAGCAGGCUUUCCUUACUGAGGAGUUAGCAAUGCUGCUAAGGGUGCAGAGCCACACAUGCGCUCCGAGCUCUGCAUGGGAGACUGAAGCUGACAGAGCUGCAGCAGUUAGCAGGUUUCACCCUCAGAGACCACCAGGGGUUCAUGUUGAGGCAUUUUCAGUUUUUUUUUUUUUUUUUUUUUUUGCCAUAGACACUGUCAGCACAAUCUGCAGUUACACUAACAAAAAUGCUGCAAAAAACAAAGAAUUAUGGAAAAAUUACACAUGGACUGACAUAGAGGAGGAUCUACACAAGUUUUUUACAUCAUGUUUUACAUCAUGCAUCAUUUACAUCAUGUUUUUUUGUAGUGGCAUAAAUAAAAAGUGACAUUUGUGAGACUAUACAGUGUUUUGUAAAUAAUUUUACAAAGAACACCUGGGCCAUUGCCUGCAUUUUGAUGUCAAUAGAGGUAAAUUACUAUGUUCUUUGUUAAAAAUUUGCAUAUGUUUUGAAGUUUACAAUUUUUAUUUGAAGUUUAAGUUUUAAAAACAGUUCAUCACACAUAUUUGUGGUUUUCACAGUAAAAACGUUACUUUUUUCCACUCGGAUUUUAUGUUUUGUGUGUGAAUUUGGGUCCAAUGUGUAAAUAUAGUAUGUCAAAAUGAUAAAAUAACUGUAAAUUGACACAGGUGAGGUUGUGCUGAAAAAAAUGAUACCAGGCAAGGCAAGGUAAAAAUUUUGUAAGAGGAAAUAUAAAGGUAAAAUCUAAAGUAGUCAAAAACGGCCAAUAGUGACUCACAGACUCCACAGACAAGUCCCUUUGGCGCCACUCAGUGGGCAAAACUACUUUGUCUACUGUAAUGUAUAUUUGGGUCAUCUUUGGCGCCCCCUAAAACGUAAACCGUGGGGUGCAGCGUCAUGAUUUUUACAACUUUGAAUGGCCAUGGAGUGUAGAUUGGCCUGAGCAAAUUUGGUGUCAGUGGGACGAAAGACUUAGGAGGAGUUAGCGAAAUUCCAAUGUGUGCGAAUCGGCAAUAAAUGCAAAAUAGCCCUUUUACCGUACAUUAUACAGAUACGCGCUCUUUGACUUUUUCGUAGAUCUAAUUGAGAUACACAUGAUUGUCAAUUUUUGUGUCAUUUUGCCAAAGCGUACAGGCGUGACAGUCAACAAUGUGUAUUUUCACCUUAGUGGACAAGAAAAAAUGGACUUUUUUCUCCUGCCAUGGGGGCGCUCUUUUAGGGAGUAAAAAUUCCUUCACAAAUGUGUUGAUGGCUGGACAUUGCAUCAUCCUAGAAAACUUGGAGGCCAGUGAGGACAAAAAUAAAAAGUUAAAAGACUUUUAAAAAUGUGGAUUUUUGGGUUAUCUUUGGUGCCCCCUAGAACGUAAACCGUGGGGUGCAGCGUCAUGAUUUGAAUAACUUUUAAUGGCCAUGGGGUGUAAUUUGGCCUGAGCAAAUGUGGUGCCGGUGGAACGAAAGCCUUCGGAGGAGUUAGCGAAAUUCCAAUGUGUGCGAAUCGGCAAAAAAUGCGGAAUAACCCUUUAACCGUACAUUAGACAGAUACGCGCGCAUGGACUUUUUUGUAGAUCUUAUUGAGAUACAUGUGUGUGUCAAUUUUUGUGUCAUUUUGCCAAAGCGUACAGGCGUGACACUCAACAAUGUGUAUUUUCACCUUAGGGGACAAGAAAAAAUGGACUUUUUUCUCCUGCCAUGGGGGGGCGCUCUUUUGGGGAGUAAAAAUUCCUUCACAAAUGUGUUGAUGGCUGGACAUUGCAUCAUCCUAGAAAACUUGGAGGCCAGUGAGGGCAAAAAUAAAAAGUUAUAAGACUUUUAAAAAUGUGGAUUUUAGGGUUAUCUUUGGCGCCCCCUAGAACCUAAACCGUGGGGUGCAGCGUCAUGAUUUGAAUAACUUUUAAUGGCCAUGGGGUGUAGAUUGGCCUGAGCAAAUGUGGUGCCGGUGGAACGAAAGCCUUCGGAGGAGUUAGCGAAAUUCCAAUGUGUGCGGAUCGGCAAAAAAUGCGAAAUAACCCUUUAACCGUACAUUUGACAGAUACGCCCGCACUGACUUUUUUGUAGAUCUUAUUGAGAUACAUGUGUGUGUCAAUUUUUGUGUCAUUUUGACAAAGCAUACAGGCGUGACAGUCAAUAGUGUGAAUUUUCACCUUAGGGGGCGCUAUGGAGCCAUUUUGCAUUUUCUUGUUUGGGCGACUUCGGAAUAUCAAAUUUUUCACCAGGCCCGGUCGUCCUGCCAAAUUUCAUGAGUUUUCGCCAGUGGGAAGUGGGCCAUUUUCCAGUUCAAAGGGGAGGAAAAAGAAGAAAGAAAGAAACAAAGAAAAACCCCUACAGGAAUAACAGGGCCUACGCCCGGCUGCUCUGCAGCUGGCUCGGGCCCUAAAAAACCUAUACAGGAAUAAUAGGGCUCUACGCCCGGCUGCUCUGCAGCUGGCUCGGGCCCUAACUAGGGCCCCGGUGGGGCACUGUCGGGCCCGAGCCGCGUUGUGCCGCCCCCAGCGUGACCGCCUCCCCCUCCCGAUCGCGUCACACUCAAGGUCCAAAGAUGGUGUGCGCACUUGUCUGUGGUCAUUUCCCAUUAUAAUGAAUGGGAGGCGCAGUUUCUACCAAAACACUCGCUGCAGACAAACUUCAUGUCCUAUUUGAAAAAAGUCUGGACCAUGAGUGAGGGCACAAACACAGCUGGGAUAUAUCCAAAUGGCAGGUUGCUCCUGGAUACGGUGUUGCCUGGAGAGCGAUGCGAUUGAGCCAUUGAGCGAUGGGCAGGAAAAACUUGACUUUUUCUCCUGCCAUGGGGGGGGGGAGAAUGUGGAUUCUUUUAAGAAUGUGGAUUUUUUGGUCAUCUUUGGCGCCCCCUAGAACGUAAACCGUGGGGUGCAGCGUCAUGAUUUUUACAACUUUGAAUGGCCAUGGGGUGUAGAUUGGCCUGAGCAAAUUUAGUUUCAGUGGGACGAAAGCCUUAGGAGGAGUUAGCCACAUUCCAAUGUGUGCGAAUCGGCAAAAAAUGCAAAAUAGCCCUCUAACCGUACAUUUGACAGAUACGCACCCAUUGACUUUUUCGUAGAUCUUAUUGAGAUACACGUGAUUGUCAAAUUUUGUGUCAAUAUGACAAAGCGUACAGGUGUCACACUCAACAAUGUGAAUUUUCACCUUACGGGACAAGAAAAAAUGGACUUUUUUCUCCUGCCAUGGGGGGGCGCUCUUUUAGGGAGUAAAAAUUCCUUCACAAAUGUGUUGAUGGCUGGACAUUGCAUCAUCCUAGAAAACUUGGAGGCCAGUGAGGGCAAAAAUAAAAAGUUAUAAGACUUUUAAAUAUGUGGAUUUUAGGGUUAUCUUUGGCGCCCCCUAGAACCUAAACCGUGGGGUGCAGCGUCAUGAUUUGAAUAACUUUUAAUGGCCAUGGGGUGUAGAUUGGCCUGAGCAAAUGUGGUGCCGGUGGAAAGAAAGCCUUCAGAGGAGUUAGCGAAAUUCCAAUGUGUGCGGAUCUGCAAAAAAUGCGAAAUAACCCUUUAACCGUACAUUUGACAGAUACGCCCGCACUGACUUUUUUGUAGAUCUUAUUGAGAUACAUAUGUGUGUCAAUUUUUGUGUCAUUUUGACAAAGCGUAAAGGCGUGACAGUCAAUAGUGUGAAUUUUCACCUUAGGGGGCGCUAUGGAGCCAUUUUGCAUUUUCUUGUUUGGGCAACUUCGGAAUAUCAAAUUUUUCACCAGGCCCGGUCAUCCUGCCAAAUUUCAUGAGUUUUCGCCAGUGGGAAGUGGGCCAUUUUCCAGUUCAAAGGGGAGGAAAAAGAAGAAAGAAAGAAACAAAGAAAAACCACUUGGGGAAUAAUAGGGCUCUCGCAGCUGCUUAGCAGCUACGCUCGGGCCCUAAAAACCACUUGGGGAAUAAUAGGGCCUACGCCCGGCUGCUCUGCAGCUGGCUCGGGCCCUAAUAAUAACAAAAGAAGGAAACUACAGGAACAAGAGGGCUCUCGCAGCUGCUUAGCAGCUACGCUCGGGCCCUAAAGAAGAAUCCAUCAGGAAUAAUAGGGCUCUCGCAGCUGCUUAGCAGCUACGCUCGGGCCCUAACUAGGGCCCCGGUGGGGCACUGUCGGGCCCGAGCCGCGUCGCGCCGCCCCCAGCGCGACCGCCUCCCCCUCCCGAUUGCAUCACACUCAAGGUCCAAAGAUGGUGUGCGCACUUGUCUGUGGUCAUUUCCCAUUAUAAUGAAUGGGAGGCGCAGUUUCUACCAAAACGGCCGCUGCAGACAAACUACAUGUCCUAUUUGAAAAAAGUCUGGACCAUGAGUGAGGGCACAAACACAGCUAGGAUAUAUCCAAAUGGCAAGUUGCUCCUCCUUACGGUGUUGCCGGGAGAGCGAUGCGAUUGAGCCAUUGAGCGAUGGGCAGGGUUAACUGGACUUUUUCUCCUGCCUUGGGGGGGGGGAUGUGGAUUCUUUUAAGAAUGUGGAUAUUUGGGUCAUCUUUGGCGCCCCCUAGAACGUAAACCAUGGGGUGCAGCGGCAUGAUUUUUACAACUUUGAAUGGCCAUGGGAUGUAGAUCGGCUUGAGCAAAUUUGGUGUCGGUGGGAAGAAAGCCUUAGGAGGAGUUAGCCACAUUCCAAUGUGUGCGAAUCGGCAAAAAAUGCGAAAUAGCCCUUUAACCGUACAUUUUACAGAUACGUGCCCAUUGACUUUUUCGUAGAUCUUAUUGAGAUACACGUGUGUGUCAAAUUUUGUGUCAUUUUGACAAAGCGUAUAGGCGUGACAGUCAACAAUGUGUUUUUUCACCUUAGGGGACAAGAAAAAAUGGACUUUUUUCUCCUGCCAUGGGGGGGCGCCCUUUUCGGGAGUAAAAAUUCCUUUACAAAUGUGUUGAUGGCUGGACAUUGCAUCAUCCUAGAAAACUUGGAGGCCAGUGAGGACAAAAAUAAAAAGUUAUAAGACUAUUAAGAAUGUGGAUUUUGGGUUAUCUUUGGCGCCCCCUAGAACCUAAACCGUGGGGUGCAGCGUCAUGAUUUGUACAACUUUUAAUGGCCAUGGGGUGUAGAUUGGCCUGCGCAAAUGUGGUGCCGGUCGAACUAAAGCCUUCGGAGGAGUUAGCGAAAUUCCAAUGUGUGCAGAUCUGCAAAAAAUGCAAAAUAACCCAUUAACCGUACAUUUGACAGAUACGCCCGCACUGACUUUCUUGUAGAUCUUAUUGAGAUACAUGUGUGUGUCAAUUUUUGUGUCAAUAUGACAAAGCGUACAGCCGUCAUGUGAAUUUUCACCUUAGGGGGCGCUAUGGAGCCAUUUUGCAUUUUAUUGUUUGGGCGACUUCAGAAUAUCGAAUUUUUCACCAGGCCCGGUCGUCCUGCCAAAUUUCCUGAGUUUUCGCCAGUGGGAAGUGGGCCAUUUUCCAGUUUAAAGCGGAGGAAAAAUAAUAACGAAAGAAGGAAACAUGCAGGAACAAGAGGGCUCUCGCAGCUGCUUAGCAGCUACGCUCGGGCCCUAAAGAAAGAAACAAAGACUAGGGCCCCGGUGGGGCACUGUCGGGCCCGAGCGGCGUCGCGCCGCCCCCAGCGCGACCGCCUCCCCCUCCCGAUCGCGUCACACUCAAGGUCCAAAGAUGGUGUGCGCACUUGUCUGUGGUCAUUUACCAUUAUAAUGAAUGGGAGGCACAGUUUCUACCAAAACACUCGCUGCAGACAAACUUCAUGUCCUAUUUGAAAAAAGUCUGGACCAUGAGUGAGGGCACAAACACAGCUAGGAUAUAUCCAAAUGGCAGGUUGCUCCUCCUUACGGUGUUGCCUGGAGAGCGCUGGAUUGAGCCAUUGAGCGAUGGGCAGGAAAAACUUGACUUUUUCUUCUGCCUUGGGGGGGGUGUGUGUGGAUUCUUUUAAGAAUGUGGAUAUUUGGGUCAUCUUUGGCGCCCCCUAGAACGUAAACCGUGGGGUGCAGCGUCAUGAUUUUUACAACUUUGAAUGGCCAUGGGAUGUAGAUCGGCUUGAGCAAAUUUGGUGUCGGUGGGACGAAAGCCUUAGGAGGAGUUAGCCACAUUCCAAUGUGUGCGAAUCGGCAAAAAAUGCAAAAUAGCCCUUUAACCGUACAUUUGACAGAUACGCGCCCAUUGACUUUUUCGUAGAUCUUAUUGAGAUACACGUGAUUGUCAAAUUUUGUGUCAAUAUGACAAAGCGUACAGGUGUCACACUCAACAAUGUGAAUUUUCACCUUAGGGGACAAGAAAAAAUGGACUUUUUUCUCCUGCCAUGGGGGGGCGCUCUUUUGGGGAGUAAAAAAUCCUUCACAAAUGUGUUGAUGGCUGGACAUUGCAUCAUCCUAGAAAACUUGGAGGCCAGUGAGGACAAAAAUAAAAAGUUAUAAGACUUUGAAAUAUGUGGAUUUUAGGGUUAUCUUUGGCGCCCCCUAGAACCUAAACCGUGGGGUGCAGCGUCAUGAUUUGAAUAACUUUGAAUGGCCAUGGGGUGUAGAUUGGCCUGAGCAAAUGUGAUGCCAGUGGAACGAAAGCCUUCGGAGGAGUUAGCGAAAUUCCAAUGUGUGCGGAUCAACAAAAAAUGCGGAAUAACCCUUUAACCAUACAUUUGACAGAUACGCGCGCAUUGACUUUUUCGUAGAUCUUAUUGAGAUACAUGUGUGUGUCAAUUUUUGUGUCAAUAUGAUAAAGCGUACAGGCGUGACAGUCAAUAGUGUCAAUUUCCACCUUAGGGGACAAGAAAAAAUUGACUUUUUUCUCCUGCCAUGGGGGGGCGCUCUUUUGGGGAGUAAAAAUUCCUUCACAAAUGUGUUGAUGGCUGGACAUUGCAUCAUCCUAGAAAACUUGGAGGCCAGUGAGGACAAAAAUAAAAAGUUAUAAGACUUUUAAAUAUGUGGAUUUUAGGAAUAUCUUUGGCGCCCCCUAGAACCUAAACCGUGGGGUGCAGCGUCAUGAUUUGAAUAACUUUUAAUGGCCAUGGGGUGUAGAUUGGCCUGAGCAAAUGUGGUGCCGGUGGAACGAAAGCCUUCGGAGGAGUUAGCGAAAUUCCAAUGUGUGCGGAUCGGCAAAAAAUGCGGAAUAACCCUUUAACUGUAUAUUUGACAGAUACGCGCGCAUUGACUUUUUCGUAGAUCUUAUUGAGAUACAUGUGUGUGUCAAUUUUUGUGUCAUCUUGCCAAAGCGUACAGGUGUUACACUCAACAAUGUGUAUUUUCACCUUAGGGGACAAGAAAAAAUGGACUUUUUUCUCCUGCCAUGGGGGGGCGCUCUUUUGGGGAGUAAAAAUUCCUUCACAAAUGUGUUGAUGGCUGGACAUUGCAUCAUCCUAGAAAACUUGGAGGCCAGUGAGGGCAAAAAUAAAAAGUUAUAAGACUUUUAAAUAUGUGGAUCUUAGGGUUAUCUUUGGCGCCCCCUAGAACCUAAACCGUGGGGUGCAGCGUCAUGAUUUGAAUAACUUUUAAUGGCCAUGGGGUGUAGAUUGGCCUGAGCAAAUGUGGUGCCGGUGGAACGAAAGCCUUCGGAGGAGUUAGCGAAAUUCCAAUGUGUGCGGAUCGGCAAAAAAUGCGAAAUAACCCUUUAACCGUACAUUUGACAGAUACGCCCGCACUGACUUUUUUGUAGAUCUUAUUGAGAUACAUGUGUGUGUCAAUUUUUGUGUCAUUUUGACAAAGCGUACAGGCGUCAGGUGAAUUUUUCACCUUAGGGGGCGCUAUGGAGCCAUUUUGCAUUGUAUUGUUUGGGCGACUUCAGAAUAUCAAAUUUUUCACCAGGCCCGGUCGUCCUGCCAAAUUUCAUGAGUUUUCGCCAGUGGGAAGUGGGCCAUUUUCCAGUUGACCACAGACAAGUGCGCACACCAUCUUUGGACCUUGAGUGUGACGCGAUCGGGAGGGGGAGGCGGUCGCGCUGGGGGCGGCGCGACGCCGCUCGGGCCCGACAGUGCCCCACCGGGGCCCUAGUUAGGGCCCGAGCCAGCUGCAGAGCAGCCGGGCGUAGGCCCUAUUAUUCCCCAAGUGGUUUUUCUUUGUUUCUUUCUUUCUUUUUAGGGCCCGAGCGUAGCUGCUAAGCAGCUGCGAGGCCCUAUUAUUCCUGUAGUGGUUUUUAGGGCCCGAGCGUAGCUGCUAAGCAGCUGCGAGAGCCCUAUUAUUCCUGAUGGAUUCUUCUUUCUUCUUCUUCUUCUUAUUAUUUUUCUGCCCAUUUGAACUGGAAAAUGGCCCACUUCCCACUGGUGAAAACUCAUGAAAUUUGGCAGGACGACUGGGCCUGGUGAAAAAUUCGAUAUUCUGAAGUCACCCAAACAAUCAAAUGCAAAAUGGCUCCAUAGCGCCCCCUAAGGUGAAAAAUUCACAUGAUUGAGUGUCACGCCUGUACGCUUUGUCAAAAUGACACAAAAUUUGACACACACGUGUAUCUCAAUAAGAUCUACAAAAAAGUCAGUGCGGGCGUAUCUGUCAAAUGUACGGUUAAAGGGCUAUUUCGCAUUUUUUGCCGAUCCGCACACAUUGGAAUUUCGCUAACUCCUCCGAAGGCUUUCGUUCCACCGGCACCAAAUUUGCUCAGGCCAAUCUACACCCCAUGGCCAUUCAAAGUUGUACAAAUCAUGACGCUGCCCCCCACGGUUUACGUUGUAGGGGGCGCCAAAGAUAACCCAAAAAUCCACAUUCUUACAAGUCUUAUAACUUUUUAUUUCUGUCCUCACUGGCCUCCAAGUUUUCUAGGAUGAUGCAAUGUCCAGCCAUCAACACAUUUGUGAAGGAAUUUUUACUCCCCAAAAGAGCGCCCCCCCAUGGCAGAAGAAAAAAGGCCAUUUUUUCUUGUCCUAUAAGGUGAAAAUACACAUUGUUGAGUGUCACGCCUGUACGCUUUGUCAUAUUGAAACAAAAUUUGAUAAUCACGUGUAUCUCAAUAAGAUCUACGAAAGAGUCAAUGCGCACGUGUCUGCAAAAUGUACGGUUAAAGGGCUAUUUCGCAUUUUUGGUUGAUUCGCACACAUUGGAAUGUGGCUAACUCCUCCUAAAGCUUUCGUUCCACCGGCACCAAAUUUGCUUAGGCCAAUCUACACCCCAUGGCCAUUCAAAGUUGUACAAAUCAUGUCGCUGCACCCCACGGUUUACCUUGUAGGGGGCGCCAAAGAUAACCCAAAAAUCCACAUUCUUACAAGUUAUAACUUUUUAUUUCUGUCCUCACUGGCCUCCAAGUUUUCUAGGAUGAUGCAAUGUCCAGCCAUCAACACAUUUGUGAAGGAAUUUUUACUCGCCAAAAGAGCGCCCCCCCAUGGCAGGAGAAAAAAGUCCAUUUUUUCUUGUCUCCUAAGGCGAAAAUUCACACUAUUGACUGUCACACCUUUACGCUUUGUCAAAAUGACACAAAAUUUGACACACACAUGUAUCUCAAUAAGAUCUACAAAAAAGUCAGUGCGGGCGUAUCUGUCAAAUGUACGGUUAAAGGGUUAUUUCGCAUUUUUUGCCGAUCCGCACACAUUGGAAUUUCGCUAACUCCUCCGAAGGCUUUCGUUCCACCGGCACCACAUUUGCUCAGGCCAAUCUACACCCCAUGGCCAUUAAAAGUUGUACAAAUCAUGAUGCUGCACCCCACGGUUUACGUUCUAGGGGGCGCCAAAGAUAACCCAAAUAUCCACAGUCUUAAAAGUCUUAUAACUUUUUAUUUUUGUCCUCACUGGCCUCCAAGUUCUCUAGGAUGAUGCAAUGUCCAGCCAUCAACACAUUUGUGAAGGAAUUUUUACUCGCCAAAAGAGCGCCCCCCAUGGCAGGAGAAAAAAGUCCAUUUUUUCUUGUCUCCUAAGGCGAAAAUACACAUUGUUGACUGUCACGCCUUUACGCUUUGUCAAAAUGACACAAAAUUUGACACACACAUGUAUCUCAAUAAGAUCUACGAAAAAGUCAAUGCGAGCGUAUCUGUUCAAUGUACGGUUAAAGGGCUAUUUCGCAUUUUUUGCCGAUUCGCACACAUUGGAAUGUGGCUAACUCCUCCUAAAGCUUUUGUCCCAUCGGCUUCAAAUUUGCUCAGGUCAAUCUACACCCCAUGUCCAUUCAAAGUUGUACAAAUCAUGACGCUGCACCCCACGGUUUACGUUCUAGGGGGCGCCAAAGAUAACCCAAAAAUCCACAGUCUUAAAAGUCUUAUAACUUUUUAUUUUUGUCCUCACUGGCCUCCAAGUUCUCUAGGAUGAUGCAAUGUCCAGCCAUCAACACAUUUGUGAAGGAAUUUUUACUCCCCAAAAGAGCGCCCCCCCAUGGCAGGAGAAAAAGUCAAGUUUUUCCUGCCCAUCGCUCAAUGGCUCAAACGCAUCGCUCUCUCGGCAAAACCGAAAGGAGGAGCAACUUGCCAUUUGGAUAUAUACUAGCUGUGUUUGUGCCCUCACUCAUGGUCCAGACUUUUUUCAAAAAGGACAUGGAGUUUGUCUGCAGCGAGCGUUUUGGUAGAAACUGCGCCUCCCAUUCAUUAUAAUGGUAAAUGACCACAGACAAGUGCGCACACCAUCUUUGGACCUUGAGUGUGACGCAAUCGGGAGGGGUAGGCGGUCGCGCUGGGGGUGGCGCGACACGGCUCGGGCCCGCCAGUGCCCCAACGGGGCCCUAGUUCUUUGUUUCUUUUUUCUUUUUCCUCCCCUUUGACCUGGAAAAUGGCCCACUUCCCACUGGCGAAAACUCAUGAAAUUUGGCAGGACGACCGGGCCUGGUGAAAAAUUUGAUAUUCCGAAGUCGCCCAAACAAGAAAAUGCAAAAUGGCUCCAUAGCGCCCCCUAAGGUGAAAAUUCACACUAUUGACUGUCACGCCUGUACGCUUUGUCAAAAUGACACAAAAAUUGACACACACAUGUAUCUCAAUAAGAUCUACAAAAAAGUCAGUGCGGCCGUAUCUGUCAAAUGUACGGUCAAAGGGUUAUUUCGCAUUUUUUGCCGAUCCGCACACAUUGGAAUUUCGCUAACUCCUCCGAAGGCUUUCGUUCCACCGGCACCACAUUUGCUCAGGCCAAUCUACACCCCGUGGCCAUUAAAAGUUAUCAAAAUCAUGACGCUGCACCCCAAGGUUUAGGUUCUAGGGGGCGCCAAAGAUAACACUAAAAUCCACAUAUUUAAAAGUCUUAUAACUUUUUAUUUUUGUCCUCACUGGCCUCCAAGUUUUCUAGGAUGAUGCAAUGUCCAGCCAUCAACACAUUUGUGAAGGAAUUUUUACUCCCCAAAAGAGCGCCCCCCCAUGGCAGGAGAAAAAAGUCCAUUUUUUCUUGUCCCCUAAGGUGAAAAUACACAUUGUUGAGUGUCACGCCUAUACGCUUUGUCAAAAUGACACAAAAAUUGACACACAUAUGUAUCUCAAUAAGAUCUACAAAAAAGUCGAUGCGGCCGUAUCUGUCAAAUGUACGGUCAAAGGGUUAUUUCGCAUUUUUUGCCGAUCCGCACACAUUGGAAUUUCGCUAACUCCUCCGAAGGCUUUCGUUCCACCGGCACCACAUUUGCUCAGGCCAAUCUACACCCCGUGGCCAUUAAAAGUUAUCAAAAUCAUGACGCUGCACCCCAAGGUUUAGGUUCUAGGGGGCGCCAAAGGUAACACUAAAAUCCACAUAUUUAAAAGUCUUAUAACUUUUUAUUUUUGUCCUCACUGGCCUCCAAGUUUUCUAGGAUGAUGCAAUGUCCAGCCAUCAACACAUUUGUGAAGGAAUUUUUACUCCCCAAAAGAGCGCCCCCCCAUGGCAGGAGAAAAAAGUCAAUUUUUUCUUGUCCCCUAAGGUGAAAAUACACAUUGUUGAGUGUCACGCCUAUACGCUUUGUCAAAAUGACACAAAAAUUGACACACACAUGUAACUCAAUAAGAUCUACGAAAAAGUCAAUGCGCGCGUAUCUGUCAAAUGUACGGUUAAAGGGUUAUUCCGCAUUUUUUGCCGAUCCGCACACAUUGGAAUGUGGCUAACUCCUCCUAAGGCUUUCGUUCCACCGGCACCACAUUUGCUCAGGACAAUCUACACCCCAUGGCCAUUAAAAGUUAUUCAAAUCAUGACGCUGCACCCCACGGUUUAGGUUCUAGGGGGCGCCAAAGACCCUAAAAUCCACAUAUUUAAAAGUCUUAUAACUUUUUAUUUUUGUCCUCACUGGCCUCCAAGUUUUUUAGUUUUCUAGGAUGAUGCAAUGUCCAGCCAUCAACACAUUUGUGAAGGAAUUUUUACUCCCCAAAAGAGCGCCCCCCCAUGGCAGGAGAAAAAAGUCCAUUUUUUCUUGUCCCCUAAGGUGAAAAUACAUAUUGUUGAGAUUCACGCCUAUACGCUUUGUCAUAUUGACACAAAAUUUGACAAUCACGUGCCUUGCCUGGUAUCAUUUUUUCAGCACAACCUCACCUGUGCGAAUUUACAGUUAUUUUAUCAUGUUGACAUACUGAAUUUACACAAUGGACCCAAAUUCACACACAAAACAUAAAAUCCGAGUGGAAAAAAGUAACAUUUUUACUGUGAAAACCACAAAUAUGUGUGAUGAACUGUUUUUAAAACUUAAACUUCAAAUAAAAAUUGUAAACUUCAAAACAUAUGCAAAUUUUUAACAAAGAACAUAGUGAUUUACCUCUAUUUACAUCAAAAUGCAGGCAAUGGCCCAGGCGUUCUUUGUAAAAUUAUUUACAAAACACUGUAUAGUCUCACAAAUGUCACUUUUUAUUUAUGCCACUACAAAAAAACAUGAUGUAAAUGAUGCAUGAUGUAAAACAUGAUGUAAAAAACUUGUGUAGAUCCUCCUCUAUGUCAGUCCAUGUGUAAUUUUUCCAUAAUUCUUUGUUUUUUGCAGCAUUUUUGUUAGUGUAACUGCAGAUUGUGCUGACAGUGUCUAUGGCACAAAAAAAAAAAAAUUUAAAAUGCCUCAACAUGAACCCCUGGUGGUCUCUGAGGGUGAAACCUGCUAACGGCUGCAGCUCUGUCAGCUUCAGUCUCCCAUGCAGAGCUCUGAGCGCAUGUGUGGCUCUGCACCCUUAGCAGCGUUGCUAACUCCUCAGUAAGGAAAGCCUGCUUCAUGUCAGAGUCUCUAAACUCCAGAAGAAGUCGAUAAAAGUCCCUUUCUUUCUAAAAAAAAGUCGUUAGGGGGUCUGAAAAGUCAUUGAAUCUAACAACAAAGUCGCUAGGUUUGCAACUACGUGUCCCAGACUGCAUCCCUGCUGAGAGUCCCUCCCUCCCUUCUCAUGUUGCAGGAAGAACGUAAGCGCCCGCCCCUUGUCAAUCAGUCACCAUAUAAUUUUGGAUUGGUUGUUGUGGUGAAGUUUUCCACCAAUAGGAGAGAUGUUGUGGUGUGUUUUUUUUUUCUUUUGGCAAGCCUUUUCCGCCUGUAAGACCUGUCGCUAAUGUCUGCAUGCUAUGUUUUCCUGUCUCAUACAGCGCGAUCGAGCGCCGAACGUGAUCAAAAUAAGCAGAAAAAAAGUAUCGCGGACAUAAUUUAUCAUAACUCUGGUUUUAUUUGGCCUAUCAACACAAUUUAAAAACUGGUAUAUAGGUUGAGGUCCUCACUUUUGAGAUAAGUUGAAACGGAGAGUCAACGAGGCUCCGUCUUGCAGCUACAUCCGAUUAAAUAUGUCAUGUGACUUGAACGCACACACAGACACACACACACGCACACACACACACACACACACACACACACACACUCAGAGUCUGGUUUUUAGCACCUGCAAAAACAUGCUAUUUACAUAUUUGACAAGAAUGCAGAGGCUCCUUUUGCCCCUGAAAAAAAUCAAAUUUCAAACACAACUUGACUGGUCAUUUCUCCAAAAGACAACCAUGAAGCUCCAUCCAAACCUGAAGCAGGCAGUUGGUGCAUGUGUACAGUAACCUGAGGGGAGUGAGGUGAGUGCUUCUGAGGAGAACAUGAGCAGUGAAGAUUCACCUUGGAGCUAGAACAGAGACAUGCACAUGAUUAUACAGGGGCAGGGGCUCAAGUUUUUUCCAGUCGUUUAUACAAUAUGGAAAUUAAUGUGAAAUUAAAACACAAAGUAUUAAUAGAAAGGUAAUGACUGUCCUGUGUAGGUGACAGUGAUAUCCAAUAGGCUAGGCACUCACGAGGCUGGCUGUGGCAAGUGUAAGUGAAAGCAACACGCACUGGCAGGAAGAACAGCAAACGCCGAUGAAGGAAAAGGGUCUUUGCAGUGAUGGGCGUUACCAGAGAGGGCGAUGGCCAGAGGACACAAAUGGGACGGGGAGGCAGCAUGUUGGGGGGUGGGGGGGUGGGGGGGGGGGGGGGACGCGACACGGCUCGGGCCCGCCAGUGCCCCAACGGGGUCCUAGUUAUUAUUAUUAUUUUUCCUCCGCUUUAAACUGGAAAAUGGCCCACUUCCCACUGGCGAAAACUCAGGAAAUUUGGCAGGACGACCGGGCCUGGUGAAAAAUUCGAUAUUCUGAAGUCGCCCAAACAAUAAAAUACAAAAUGGCUCCAUAGCGCCCCCUAAGGUGAAAAUUCACACUAUUGACUGUCACGUCUGUACGCUUUGUCAUAUUGACACAAAAAUUGACACACACAUGUAUCUCAAUAAGAUCUACAAAAAAGUCAGUGCGGGCGUAUCUGUCAAAUGUACGGUUAAAGGGUUAUUUCGCAUUUUUUGCAGAUCCGCACACAUUGGAAUUUCGCUAACUCCUCCGAAGGCUUUCGGUCCACCGGCACCACAUUUGCUCAGGCCAAUCUACACUCCAUGGCCAUUCAAAGUUGUACAAAUCAUGAUGCUGCACCCCAUGGUUUAGGUUCUAGGGGGCGCCAAAAAUAACCCUAAAAUCCACAUUCUUAAAAGUUUUAUAACUUUUUAUUUUUGCCCUCACUGGCCUCCAAGUUUUCUAGGAUGAUGCAAUGUCCAGCCAUCAACACAUUUGUGAAGGAAUUUUUACUCCCCAAAAGAGCGCCCCCCCAUGGCAGGACAAAAAAGUCAAUUUUUUCUUGUCCCCUAAGGUGAAAAUACACAUUGUUGAAUGUCACGCCUGUACGCUUUGUCAUAUUGACAAAAAAUUUGACAAUCACGUGUAUCUCAAUAAGAUCUACGAAAAAGUCAAUGCAGGCGUAUCUGUCAAAUGUACGGUUAAAGGGCUAUUUCGCAUUUUUUGCCGAUUCGCACACAUUGGAAUGUGGCUAACUCCUCCUAAGGCUUUCGUCCCACUGACACCAAAUUUGCUCAGGCCAAUCUACACCCCAUGGCCAUUCAAAGUUGUAAAAAUCAUGACGCUGCACCCUAUGGUCUACGUUCUAGGGGGCGCCAAAGAGGACCCAAAUAUCCACAUUUUUAAAGUCUUAUAACUUUUUAUUUUUGUCCUCACUGGCCUCCAAGUUUUCUAGGAUGAUGCAAUGUCCAGCCAUCAACACAUUUGUGAAGGAAUUUUUUCUCCCCAAAAGAGCGCCCCCCCAUGGCAGGAGAAAAAGUCAAGUUUUUCCUGCCCAUCGCUCAAUGGCUCAAACGCAUCGCUCUCUCGGCAAAACCGAAAGGAGGAGCAACUUGCCAUUUGGAUAUAUACUAGCUGUGUUUGUGCCCUCACUCAUGGUCCAGACUUUUUUCAAAAAGGACAUGGAGUUUGUCUGCAGCGAGCGUUUUGGUAGAAACUGCGCCUCCCAUUCAUUAUAAUGGUAAAUGACCACAGACAAGUGCGCACACCAUCUUUGGACCUUGAGUGUGACGCGAUCGGGAGGGGGAGGCGGUCGCGCUGGGGGCGGCGUGACACGGCUCGGGCCCGCCAGUGCCCCACCGGGGCCCUAGUCUUCUUAUUAUUUUUCUGCCCCUUUGAACUGGAAAAUGGCCCACUUCCCACUGGUGAAAAGUCAUGAAAUUUGGCAGGACGACCGGGCCUGGUGAAAAAUUCGAUAUUCUGAAGUCGCCCAAAAAAUCAAAUGCAAAAUGGCUCCAUAGCGCCCCCUAAGGUGAAAAAUUCACAUGAUUGAGUGUCACGCCUGUACGCUUUGUCAAAAUGACACAAAAUUUGACACACACGUGUAUCUCAAUAAGAUCUACAAAAAAGUCAGUGCGGGCGUAUCUGUCAAAUGUACGGUUAAAGGGCUAUUUCGCAUUUUUUGCCGAUCCGCACACAUUGGAAUUUCGCUAACUCCUCCGAAGGCUUUCGUUCCACCGGCACCAAAUUUGCUCAGGCCAAUCUACACCCCAUGGCCAUUAAAAGUUGUACAAAUCAUGACGCUGCAUCCCACGGUUUACGUUCUAGGGGGCGCCAAAGAUAACCCAGAAAUCCACAUUCUUAAAAGUCGUAUAACUUUUUAUUUUUGUCCUCACUGGCCUCCAAGUUUUCUAGGAUGAUGCAAUGUCUAGCCAUCAACACAUUUGUGAAGGAAUUUUUACUCCCCAAAAGAGCGCCCCCCCAUGGCAGGAGAAAAAAGUCCAGUUUUUCUUCCCCCUAAGGUGAAAAUUCACAUUAUUGAGUGUCACGCCUGUACGCUUUGUCAUAUUGUAACAAACUUUGACAAUCACGUGUUUCUCAAUAAGAUCUACGAAAUAGUCAAUGGGCGCGUAUCUGUAAAAUGUACGGUUAAAGGGCUAUUUCGCAUUUUUGGUCGAUUCGCACACAUUGGAAUGUGGCUAACUCCUCCUAAAUAUUUCGUUCCACUGACACCAAAUUUACUCAGGCCAAUCUACAUUCCAUGGCCAUUCAAAGUUGUAAAAAUCAUGACGCUGCACCCCACGGUUUAUGUUCUAGGGGGCGCCAAAGAUAACCCAAAAAUCCACAUUCUUAAAAGUCUUAUAACUUUUUAUUUUUGUCCUCACUGGCCUCCAAGUUUUCUAGGAUGAUGCAAUGUCUAGCCAUCAACACAUUUGUGAAGGAAUUUUUACUCCCUAAAAGAGCGCCCCCCCAUGGCAGGAGAAAAAGUCAAGUUUUUCCUGCCCAUCGCUCAAUGACUCAAACACAUCGCUCUCUCGGCAAAACCGAAAGGAGGAGCAACUUGCCAUUUGGAUAUAUCCUAGCUGUGUUUGUGCCCUCACUCAUGGUCCAGUCCUUUUCAAAUAGGACAUGGAGUUUGUCUGCGGCGAGCGUUUUGGUAGAAACUGCGCCUCCCAUUCAUUAUAAUUGUAAAUGACCACAGACAAGUGCGCACACCAUCUUUGGACCUUGAGUGUGACGCGAUCGGUAGGGAGAGGCGGUCGUGUUGGGGGCGGCGCGACACGGCUCGGGCCCGCCAGUGCCCCAACGGGGCCCUAGUUAUUAUUUUUCUGCCCCUUUGAACUGGAAAAUGGCCCACUUCCCACUGGUGAAAACUCAUGAAAUUUGGCAGGACGACCGGGCCUGGUGAAAAAUUCGAUAUUCUGAAGUCGCCCAAACAAUCAAAUUCAAAAUGGCUCCAUAGCGCCCCCUAAGGUGAAAAAUUCACAUGAUUGAGUGUCACACCUGUACGCUUUGUCAAAAUGACACAAAAUUUGACACACACGUGUAUCUCAAUAAGAUCUACAAAAAAGUCAGUGCGGGCGUAUCUGUCAAAUGUACGGUUAAAGGGCUAUUUCGCAUUUUUUGCCGAUCCGCACACAGUGGAAUUUCGCUAACUCCUCCGAAGGCUUUCGUUCCACCGGCACCACAUUUGCUCAGGCCAAUCUACACCCCAUGGCCAUUCAAAGUUGUACAAAUCAUGACGCUGCACCCCACGGUUUACGUUCUAGGGGGCGCCAAAGAUAACCCAAAAAUCCACAUUCUUAAAAGUCUAAUAACUUUUUAUUUUUGCCCUCACUGGCCUCCAAGUUUUCUAGGAUGAUGCAAUGACCAGCCAUCAACACAUUUGUGAAGGAAUUUUUACUCCCCAAAAGAGCGCCCCCCCAUGGCAGGAGAAAAAAGUCCAUUUUUUCUUGUCCCCUAAGGUGAAAAUACAUAUUGUUGAGUGUCACGCCUAUACGCUUUGUCAUAUUGACAUAAAAUUUGACACACACGUGUAUCUCAAUAAGAUCUACAAAAAAGUAUAUGCGCACGUAUCUGUCAAAUGUACGGUUAAAGGGCUAUUUUGCAUUUUUUGCGGAACCGCACACAUUGGAAUUUCGCUAACUCCUCCGAAGGCUUUCGUUCCACCGGCACCACAUUUGCUCAGGCCAAUCUACACCCCAUGGCCAUUAAAAGUUGUACAAAUCAUGACGCUGCACCCCACGGUUUACGUUCUAGGGGGCGCCAAAAAUAACCCAAAAAUCCACAGUCUUAAAAGUCUUAUAACUUUUUAUUUUUGUCCUCACUGGCCUCCAAGUUUUCUAGGAUGAUGCAAUGUCCAGCCAUCAACACAUUUGUGAAGGAAUUUUUACUCCCCAAAAGAGCGCCCCCCAUGGCAGGAGAAAAAAGUCCAUUUUUUCUUGUCCCAUAAGGUGAAAAUACACAUUGUUGAGUGUCACGCCUGUACGCUUUGUCAUAUUGAAACAAAAUUUGACAAUCACGUGUAUCUCAAUAAGAUCUACGAAAAAGUCAAUGCGCACGUAUCUGUAAAAUGUACGGUUAAAGGGCUAUUACGCAUUUUUGAUCGAUUCGCACACAUUGGAAUGUGGCUAACCCCUCCUAAAGCUUUCGUUCCACCGGCACCACAUUUGCUCAGGCCAAUCUACACCCCAUGGCCAUUAAAAGUUGUACAAAUCAUGACGCUGCACCCCACGGUUUACGUUCUAGGGGGCGCCAAAGAUAACCCAAAUAUCCACAUUCUUAAAAGUCUUAUAACUUUUCAUUUUUGUCCUCACUGGCUUCCAAGUUUUCUAGGAUGAUGCAAUGUCUAGCCAUCAACACAUUUGUGAAGGAAUUUUUACUCCCCAAAAGAGCGCCCCCCCCAUGGCAGGAGAAAAAGUCAAGUUUUUCCUGCCCAUCGCUCAAUGGCUCAAACACAUGUCAUGUGUUCAAACUCCUCCGAAAGGAGGAGCAACUUGCCAUUUGGAUAUAUCCUAGCUGUGUUUGUGCCCUCACUCAUGGAUCAGACUUUUUUCAAAUAGGACAUGUAGUUUGUCUGCAGCGAGUGUUUUGGUAGAAACUGCGCCUCCCAUUCAUUAUAAUGGGAAAUGACCACAGACAAGUGCGCACACCAUCUUUGGACCUUGAGUGUGACGCGAUCGGGAGGGGGAGGCGGUCGCGCUGGGGGCGGCGCAACGCGGCUCGGGCCCGACAGUGCCCCACCGGGGCCCUAGUCUUAUUAUUAUUAUUUUUCUGCCCCUUUGAACUGGAAAAUGGCCCACUUCCCACUGGUGAAAACUCAUGAAAUUUGGCAGGACGACCGGGCCUGGUGAAAAAUUCGAUAUUCUGAAGUCACCCAAACAAUCAAAUGCAAAAUGGCUCCAUAGCGCCCCCUAAGGUGAAAAAUUCACAUGAUUGAGUGUCACGCCUGUACGUUUUGUCAAAAUGACACAAAAUUUGACACACACGUGUAUCUCAAUCAGAUCUACAAAAAAGUCAGUGCGGGAGAAUCUGUCAAAUGUACGUUUAAAGGGCUAUUUCGCAUUUUUUGCCGAUCCGCACACAUUGGAAUUUCGCUAACUCCUCCGAAGGCUUUCGUUCCACCGGCACCAAAUUUGCUCAGGCCAAUCUACACCCCAUGGCCAUUCAAAGUUGUACAAAUCAUGACGCUGCACCCCACGGUUUACGUUGUAGGGGGCGCCAAAGAUAACCCAAAAAUCCACAUUCUUACAAGUCUUAUAACUUUUUAUUUCUGUCCUCACUGGCCUCCAAGUUUUCUAGGAUGAUGCAAUGUCCAGCCAUCAACACAUUUGUGAAGGAAUUUUUACUCCCCAAAAGAGCGCCCCCCCAUGGCAGGAGAAAAAAGGCCAUUUUUUCUUGUCCUAUAAGGUGAAAAUACACAUUGUUGAGUGUCACGCCUGUACGCUUUGUCAUAUUGAAACAAAAUUUGAUAAUCACGUGUAUCUCAAUAAGAUCUACGAAAAAGUCAAUGCGCACGUGUCUGCAAAAUGUACGGUUAAAGGGCUAUUUCGCAUUUUUGGUUGAUUCGCACACAUUGGAAUGUGGCUAACUCCUCCUAAAGCUUUCGUUCCACCGGCACCAAAUUUGCUCAGGCCAAUCUACACCCCAUGGCCAUUCAAAGUUGUACAAAUCAUGACGCUGCACCCCACGGUUUACGUUGUAGGGGGCGCCAAAGAUAACCCAAAAAUCCACAUUCUUACAAGUCUUAUAACUUUUUAUUUCUGUCCUCACUGGCCUCCAAGUUUUCUAGGAUGAUGCAAUGUCCAGCCAUCAACACAUUUGUGAAGGAAUUUUUACUCCCCAAAAGAGCGCCCCCCCAUGGCAGGAGAAAAAAGGCCAUUUUUUCUUGUCCUAUAAGGUGAAAAUACACAUUGUUGAGUGUCACGCCUGUACGCUUUGUCAUAUUGAAACAAAAUUUGAUAAUCACGUGUAUCUCAAUAAGAUCUACGAAAAAGUCAAUGCGCACGUGUCUGCAAAAUGUACGGUUAAAGGGCUAUUUCGCAUUUUUGGUUGAUUCGCACACAUUGGAAUGUGGCUAACUCCUCCUAAAGCUUUCGUUCCACCGGCACCAAAUUUGCUCAGGCCAAUCUACACCCCAUGGCCAUUCAAAGUUGUACAAAUCAUGACGCUGCACCCCACGGUUUACGUUGUAGGGGGCGCCAAAGAUAACCCAAAAAUCCACAUUCUUACAAGUCUUAUAACUUUUUAUUUCUGUCCUCACUGGCCUCCAAGUUUUCUAGGAUGAUGCAAUGUCCAGCCAUCAACACAUUUGUGAAGGAAUUUUUACUCCCCAAAAGAGCGCCCCCCCAUGGCAGGAGAAAAAAGGCCAUUUUUUCUUGUCCUAUAAGGUGAAAAUACACAUUGUUGAGUGUCACGCCUGUACGCUUUGUCAUAUUGAAACAAAAUUUGAUAAACACGUGUAUCUCAAUAAGAUCUACGAAAAAGUCAAUGCGCACGUGUCUGCAAAAUGUACGGUUAAAGGGCUAUUUCGCAUUUUUGGUUGAUUCGCUCACAUUGGAAUGUGGCUAACUCCUCCUAAAGCUUUCGUUCCACCGGCACCAAAUUUGCUCAGGCCAAUCUACACCCCAUGGCCAUUCAAAGUUGUACAAAUCAUGAUGCUGCACCCCACGGUUUACGUUCUAGGGGUCGCCAAAGAUAACCCAAAAAUCCACAUUCUUAAAAGUCUUAUAACUUUUCAUUUUUGUCCUCACUGGCUUCAAAGUUUUCUAGGAUGAUGCAAUGUCUAGCCAUCAACACAUUUGUGAAGGAAUUUUUCUCCCUAAAAGAGUGCCCCCCCAUGGCAGGAGAAAAAGUCAAGUUUUUCCUGCCCAUCGCUCAAUGGCUCAAACACAUCGCUCUCUCGGAAAAAAACGAAAGGAGGAGGAACUUGCCAUUUGGAUAUAUCCUAGCUGUGUUUGUGCCCUCACUCAUGGUCCAGACUUUUUUCAAAUAGGACAUGUAGUUUGUCUGCAGCAAGCGUUUUGGUAGAAACUGCGCCUCCCAUUCAUUAUAAUGGUAAAUGACCACAGACAAGUGCGCACACCAUCGUUGAACCUUGAGUGUGACGCGAUCGGGAGGGAGAGGCGGUCGUGUUGGGGGCGGCGUGACACAGCUCGGGCCCGCCAGUGCCCCAACGGGGCCCUAGUUAUUUUUCCUCCCCUUUGAACUGGAAAAUGGCCCACUUCCCACCCGCGAAAACUCAUGAAAUUUGGCAGGACGACCGGGCCUGGUGAAAAAUUUGAUAUUCCGAAGUCGCCCAAACAAGAAAAUGCAAAAUGGCUCCAUAGCGCCCCCUAAGGUGAAAAUUCACACUAUUGACUGUCACGCCUGUACGCUUUGUCAAAAUGACACAAAAAUUGACACACACAUGUAUCUCAGUAAGAUCUACAAAAAAGUCAGUGCGGGCGUAUCUGUCAAAUGUACGGUUAAAGGGUUAUUUCGCAUUUUUUGCCGAUCCGCACACAUUGGAAUUUCGCUAACUCCUCCGAAGGCUUUCGUUCCACCAGCACCACAUUUGCUCAGGCCAAUCUACACCCCAUGGCCAUUAAAAGUUAUUCAAAUCAUGACGCUGCACCCCAAGGUUUAGGUUCUAGGGGGCGCCAAAGAUAACCCUAAGAUCCACAUAUUUAAAAGUCUUAUAACUUUUUAUUUUUGCCCUCACUGGCCUCCAAGUUUUCUAGGAUGAUGCAAUGUCCAGCCAUCAACACAUUUGUGAAGGAAUUUUUACUCCCCAAAAGAGCGCCCCCCCAUGGCAGGAGAAAAAAGUCCAUUUUUUCUUGUCCCCUAAGGUGAAAAUACACAUUGUUGAGUGUAACACCUGUACGCUUUGGCAAAAUGACACAAAAAUUGACACACACAUGUAUCUCAAUAAGAUCUACGAAAAAGUCAAUGCGCGCGUAUCUGUCAAAUGUACGGUUAAAGGGUUAUUCCGCAUUUUUUGCCGAUCCGCACACAUUGGAAUUUCGCUAACUCCUCCGAAGGCUUUCGUUCCACCGGCACCACAUUUGCUCAGGCCAAUCUACACCCCAUGGCCAUUAAAAGUUAUUCAAAUCAUGACGCUGCAUCCCACGGUUUAGGUUCUAGGGGGCGCCAAAGAUAACCCUAAAAUCCACAUAUUUAAAAGUCUUAUAACUUUUUAUUUUUGUCCUCACUGGCCUCCAAGUUUUCUAGGAUGAUGCAAUGUCCAGCCAUCAACACAUUUGUGAAGGAAUUUUUACUCCCCAAAAGAGCGCCCCCCCAUGGCAGGAGAAAAAAGUCAAUUUUUUCUUGUCCCCUAAGGUGGAAAUUCACACUAUUGACUGUCACGCCUGUACGCUUUAUCAUAUUGACACAAAAAUUGACACACAUAUGUAUCUCAAUAAGAUCUACAAAAAAGUCAAUGCGCGUGUAUCUGUCAAAUGUACGGUUAAAGGGCUAUUUUGCAUUUUUUGCCGAUUCGCACACAUUGGAAUGUGGCUAACUCCUCCUAAGGCUUUCGUCCCACUGACACCAAAUUUGCUCAGGCCAAUCUACACCCCAUGGCCAUUCAAAGUUGUAAAAAUCAUGACGAUGCACCCCACGGUUUACGUUCUAGGGGGCGCCAAAAAUGACCCAAAAAUCCACAUUCUUAAAAGAAUCCACAUCCCCCCCCCUAUGGCAGGAGAAAAAGUCAAGUUUUUCCUGCCCAUCGCUCAAUGGCUCAAUCGCAUCGCUCUCCAGGCAACACCGUAAGGAGGAGCAACCUGGCAUUUCGAUAUAUCAUAGCUGUGUUUGUGCCCUCACUCAUGGUCCAGACUUUUUUCAAAUAGGACAUGAAGUUUGUCUGCAGCGAGUGUUUUGGUAGAAACUGCGCCUCCCAUUCAUUAUAAUGGGAAAUGACCACAGACAAGUGCGCACACCAUCUUUGGUUCUUGAGUGUGACUCGAUCGGGACGGGGAGGCGGUCGCACUGGGGGCGGCGCGACGCGGCUCGGGCCCGACAGUGCCCCACCGGGGCCCUAGUUAGGGCCCGAGCCAGCUGCAGAGCAGCCGGGCGUAGGCCCCAUUAUUCCCCAAGUGGUUUUUCUUUGUUUCUUUCUUUAGGGCCCGAGCGUAGCUGCUAAGCAGCUGCGAGAGCCCUCUUGUUCCUGCAUGUUUCCUUCUUUCGUUAUUAUUUUUCCUCCGCUUUAAACUGGAAAAUGGCCCACUUCCCACUGGCGAAAACUCAGGAAAUUUGGCAGGACGACCGGGCCUGGUGAAAAAUUCGAUAUUCUGAAGUCGCCCAAACAAUAAAAUGCAAAAUGGCUCCAUAGCGCCCCCCAAGGUGAAAAUUCACAUGACGGCUGUACGCUUUGUCAUAUUGACACAAAAAUUGACACACACGUGUAUCUCAAUAAGAUCUACAAAAAAGUCAGUGCGGGCGUAUCUGUCAAAUGUACGGUUAAAGGGUUCUUCCGCAUUUUUUGCCGAUCCACACACAUUGGAAUUUCGCUAACUCCUCCGAAGGCUUUCGUUCCACUGGCACCACAUUUGCUCAGGCCAAUCUACCCCCCAUGGCCAUUAAAAGUUGUACAAAUCAUGACGCUGCACCCCACGGUUUACGUUCUAGGGGGCGCCAAAGAUAACCCAAAAAUCCACAUUCUUAAAAGUCUUAUAACUUUUUACUUUUGUCCUCACUGGCCUCCAAGUUUUCUAGGAUGAUGCAAUGUCCAGCCAUCAACACAUUUGUGAAGGAAUUUUUACUCCACAAAAGAGCGCCCCCCAAUGGCAGGAGAAAAAGGUCAAUUUUUUCUUGUCUCCUAAGGUGAAAAUACAUAUUGUCGAGUGUCACGCCUGUAUGCUUUGUCAUAUUGACACAAAAUUUGACAAUCACGUGUAUCUCAAUAAGAUCUACGAAAAAGUCAAAGGGCAUGUAUCUGUCAAAUGUACGGUUAAAGGGCUAUUUUGCAUUUUUUGCCGAUCCGCACACAUUGGAAUUUCGCUAACUCCUCCGAAGGCUAUCUUUCCACCGGCACCAAAUUUGCUCAGGCCAAUCUACACCCCAUGGCCAUUAAAAGUUGUACAAAUCAUCUUGCUGCACCCCACGGUUUGGGUUCUAGGGGGCACCAAAUAUAACCCAAAAAUCCACAUUCUUAAAAGUCUUAUAACUUUUUAUCUUUUUCCAUACUGGCCUCCAAGUUUUUUAGGAUGAUGCAAUGUCCAGCCAUCAACACAUUUGUGAAGAAAUUUUUACUCCCCAAAAGAGCGCCCCCCCCAUGGCAGGAGAAAAAAGUCCAUUUUUUCUUGUCCCGAAAGGUGAAAAUACACGUUGUUGAGUGUCACGCCUUUACGCUUUGUCAUAUUGACAAAAAAAUUGACAAUCACGUGUAUCUCAAUAAGAUCUAUGAAAAAGUCAAUGGGCACGUAAGUGUAAAAUGUACAGUUAAAGGGCUAUUUUGCAUUUUUUGGCGAUUCGCACACAUUGGAAUUUCGCUAACUCCUCCGAAGGCUUUCGUCCCACUGACACCAAAUUUGCUCAGGCCAAUCUACACUCCAUGGCCAUUCAAAGUUGUAAAAAUCAUGACGCUGCACCCCACGGUUUA
Molecule: non-coding RNA, 47300 nt
Organism: Xyrichtys novacula (pearly razorfish)
Lineage: Eukaryota; Metazoa; Chordata; Actinopteri; Labriformes; Labridae
Source: the annotation of a GenBank genome assembly